RNAcentral lists this long non-coding RNA (56855 nucleotides) under Hordeum vulgare. RNAcentral describes it as "long non-coding RNA (HVUL_LNC007538)". Lineage: Eukaryota; Viridiplantae; Streptophyta; Magnoliopsida; Poales; Poaceae. The record is from RNAcentral.
UUUCCGCGAGAUUUCAUUUGGAGACCCUUCCCGGCACCCUGCCGGAGGGGACUUUGGAGGUGGAGGGCUUCUUCAUCAUCAUCAUCGCCCCUCCAAUGACUCGUGAGUAGUUCACUUCAGACCUACGGGUCCGUAGUUAGUAGCUAGAUGACUUCUUCUCUCUCUUGGAUCUUCAAUACAAAGUUCUCCAUGAUCUUCANNNNNNNNNNNNNNNNNNNNNNNNNNNNNNNNNNNNNNNNNNNNNNNNNNNNNNNNNNNNNNNNNNNNNNNNNNNNNNNNNNNNNNNNNNNNNNNNNNNNGCAAAAAAAUCAGGGGAGCCUCGAAAAUACUUUUCCGCCGCCGCAAGCUUCCAUUUUCGCGAGAUCUCAUCUGGAGACCCUUCCCGGCGCCCUGCCGGAGGGGACUUUGGAGUUGGAGGGCUUCUUCAUCAUCAUCAUCGCCCCUCCAAUGACUCAUGAGUAGUUCACUUCAGACCUACGGGUCCGUAGUUAGUAGCUAGAUGGCUUCUUCUCUCUCUUGGAUCUUCAAUACAANNNNNNNNNNACAAAAAAUCAGGGGAACCUCGAAAAUACUUUUCCGCCGCCGCAAGCUUCUGUUUCCGCGAGAUCUCAUUUGGAGACCCUUCCUGGCGCCCUGCCGGAGGGGACUUUGGAGUUGGAGGGCUUCUUCAUCAUCAUCGCCCCUCCAAUGACUCGUGAGUAGUUCACUUCAGACCUACGGGUCCAUAGUUAGUAGCUAGAUGGCUUCUUCUCUCUCUUGGAUCUUCAAUACAAAGUUCUCCAUGAUCUUAAUGGAGAUCUAUCCGAUGUAAUCUUCUUUGGCGGUGUGUUUGUCGAGAUCGGAUGAAUUGUGGAUUUGUGAUCAGAUUAUCUAUGUUAUAUAUUUGAGUAUUUUUUGAUUUCUUAUAUGCAUGAUUUGAUAUCCUUGUAAGUCUCUCCGAGUCUUGGGUUUUCUUUGGCCAACUAGGUCUAUGAUUCUUGCAAUUGGAGAAGUGCUUGGUUUUNNNNNNNNNNAUGUGUUUGUCGAGAUCCGAUGAAUUGUGGAUUUGUGAUCAGAUUAACUAUGUUAUAUAUUUGAGUCUUUGCUGAUUUCUUAUAUGCAUGAUUUGAUAUCCUUGUAAGUCUCUCCGAGUCNNNNNNNNNNGCAGCAAGGCACACAUUAAGUAGUUGCCAUCAAGGAUAACAAGAUGGGCUCUGUCGUUGAGAUGAUAUUGUCUAUCUACAUCAUGUCAUCUUGCUUAAGGCGUUACUCUAUUCUUUUGGACUUAAUACACUAGAUGCAUGCUGGAUAGCGUCGACGUGCGGAGUAAUGGUAGUAGAUGCAGAAAGUAUCGGUCUACUUGUUUUGGACGUGAUGCCUAUAGAUAUAAUCAUUGCCAUAGNNNNNNNNNNNNNNNNNNNNNNNNNNNNNNNNNNNNNNNNNNNNNNNNNNNNNNNNNNNNNNNNNNNNNNNNNNNNNNNNNNNNNNNNNNNNNNNNNNNNUUAUUAUAUUUCCUCUUUAAUGGUAAUCGUUUAUUAUCCAUGCUAUAAUUGUAUUGAAUGAAAACAUAGAUACAUGUGUGGAUACAUAGACAAAACAAUGUCCCUAGCAAGCCUCUAGUUGGCUAGCCAGUGGAUCAAUGAUAGUCAAGGUUUUCUGACUAUGUGCAAGUGUUGUCACUUNNNNNNNNNNCUUGUAAAUAUGCCCUAGAGGCAAUGAUAAAUAGUUAUUAUUAUAUUUCCUGUUUAAAGAUACUCGUUUAUUAUCCAUGCUAUAAUUGUAUUGAAUGAGAACAAAGAUACAUGUGUGGAUAUAUAGACAAAACAAUGUCCCUAGCAAGCUUCUAGUUGGCUAGCCAGUUGAUCAAUGAUAGUCAAGGUUUUCUGACUAUGUGCAAGUGUUGUCACUUGAUAACUGGAUCACAUCAUUAGGAGAAUCAUGUGAUGGACUAGACCCAAACUAUGAACGUAACAUAUUGAUCAUGUCAUUUUAUUGCUAUUGUUUUCUGCGUGUCAAGUAUUUGUUCCUAUGACCAUGAGAUCAUAUAACUCAUUGGCANNNNNNNNNNUACAUCAUUUUAGGAGAAUCAUGUGAUGGAUUAGACCCAAACUAUGAACGUAGCAUAUUGAUCAUGUCAUCUUAUUGCUAUUGUUUUCUGCAUGUCAAGUAUUUGUUCCUAUGACCAUGAGAUCAUAUAACUCAUUGGCACCGGAGAAUACCUUGUGUGCAUCAAACGUCGUAACGUAACUGGGUGACUAUAAAGGUGUUCUACAGGUAUCUCCGAAGGUGUCCGUUGAGUUAGUAACUUAGUAUGGAUUAAGACUCGGAUUUGUCACUCCGUGUGACGGAGAGGUAUCUUGGGGCCCACUCGGUAAUACAACAUCACACACAAGCCUUGCAAGCAUUGUGACUAAGUGUAAGUCACGAGAUCUUGUAUUACGGAAUGAGAAAAGAGACAUGCCGGUAACGAGAUUGAAAUAGGUAUGCAGAUACCGACGAUCAAAUCUCGGGCAAGUAACGUACCGAAGGACAAAGGGAAUGACAUACAGGAUUAUAUGAAUCCUUGACACUAAGCUUCAACCGAUAAGAUCUUCGGAGAAUAUGUAGGAUCCAAUAUGGGCAUCCAGGUCCCGCUAUUGGAUAUUGACCGAGGAGUGCCUCGGGGCAUGUCUACAUAGUUCUCAAACCCGCAGAGUCUGCACACUUAAGGUUCGAUGAUGUUUUAGUAUGGUUGAGUUAUAUGUGUAGUUACUGAAUGUUGUUCGGAGUCCCGGAUGAUAUCAUAGACGUCACGAGGGUUUCCGGAAUGGUCGGGAAAUGAAGAUUGAUAUAUAGGAUGACUUCAUUUGGUUACCGGAAGGUUUUCGGGCAUUACCGGGAAUGUACCGGGAGUGACGAAUGGGUUCCGGAAGUUUACCGUGAGUGGGGCAACCCACCCGAGGGAAGCCCAAAGGACCUUGGGGUGGCACACCAGCCCUUAGUGGGCUGGUGGGACAGCCCAAGAGGGCCUAUGCGCCAAGAAAAUAAAACCAAAGAAAAAGAAAAAAAAAAGAGGUGGGAAGGAAGAGAAGGACUCCACUUUCCAAUCCUAGUUGGACUAGGAUUGGAGUAGGACUCCUCCUCUCCCUUGGCCGGUGCACCCUUGAGGGCUUGGCCCUCAAGGAAAGCCUCCUCCCCCUCCCUCCUAUAUAUAGUGGUGAUUUAAGGCUGAUUUGAGACAACUUUUGCCACGUGCAACUCAGAUCUAGACACCNNNNNNNNNNNNNNNNNNNNNNNNNNNNNNNNNNNNNNNNNNNNNNNNNNNNNNNNNNNNNNNNNNNNNNNNNNNNNNNNNNNNNNNNNNNNNNNNNNNNCCAAGCAAUGUGACUAAGUGUAAGUCAUGGGAUCUUGUAUUACAGAACAAGUAAAGAGACUUGCCAGUAACGAGAUUGAAAUAGGUAUGCGGAUACCGACGAUCAAAUCUCGGGCAAGUAACAUACCGAAGGACAAAGGGAAUGACAUACGGGAUUAUAUGAAUCCUUGACACUGAGGUUCAACCGAUAAGAUCUUCGGAGAAUAUGUAGGAUCCUAUAUGGGCAUCGAGGUCCCGUUAUUGGAUAUUGACCGAGGAGUGCCUCGGGGCAUGUCUACAUAGUUCUCGAACCCGUAGGGUCUGCACACUUCAGGUUGAUGAUGUUUUAGUAUAUUUGAGUUAUAUGUGUGGUUACGAAUGUUGUUCGGAGUCCCGGAUGAGGUCACGGAUGUCAGAGGGCUUCCAGAAUGGCUGGGAAACGAAUAUUGAUAUAUAGGAUGACUUCAUUUGGUUACCGGAAGGUUUUCGAACAUUAUCGGGAAUGUACCGGGAGUGACCAAUGGGUUCCAGAAGUUCGCCGGGAAGGGGGCAACCCACCCGGGGGAAGCCCAAAGGCCCUAGGGGUGGCGCACCAGCCCUUAGUGGACUGGUGGGACAACCCAAGAGGGCCUAUGCGCCAAGAAAAGGAAACCAAAGAAAAAGAAAAAAAGAGGUGGGAAGGAAGAGAAGGACUCCAGUUUCCAAUCCUGGUUGGACUAGGAUUGGAGUAGGACUCCUCCUCUCGCUUGGCUGGCGCACCCUUGAGGGCUUGGCCCUCAAGGCAAGCCUCUUCCCCCUCCCUCCUAUAUAUAGUGGUGAUUUAGGGCUGAUUUGAGACAACUUUUGCCACGUGCAACUCAGAUCUAGACACCAUAGUUUUACCUCUAGGUCGUAUUUCUCCGGAGCUCGGGCGGAGCCCUGCAGGAGUAGAUCCUCACCACCACCAGAGUGCCGUCAUGCUGCCGGAGAACUCAUAUACUUCUCCGUCUUGCUUGCUGGAUCAAGAAGGCCGAGAUCAUCAUCGAGCUGUACGUGUGCUGAAUGCGGAGGUGCCGUACGUUCGGCACUAGAUCGUAACAGAUCGCGGGACGGUUCGUGGGAUGGUUCGUGGGGCUGAUCGAGGGACAUGAGGACGUUCCGCUACAUCAACCGCGUUUCUUAAUGCUUCUUGUUGUGCGAUCUACAAGGUUACGUAGAUCCAAAUAUCCUCUCGUAGAUGGACAUCACCAUGAUAGGUCUUCGUGUGUGUAGGAUUUUUUUUGUUUCCCAUGCAUCGUUCCCCAACAUGCGGCAGCCCCAUCUGGCGUGGGAGGUGGCAGCCAGGGCAAGGGAGAGGGGGAUGGCGCACCCCAGAUGGGCCUUAGGCCAAUCUGCACUAGGGUUUCCCCCCUUCCCUCUCUUGCUGCGCUUUCGUCCUAGGUGGGAGGCGCACCAGCCCACUCUCGGCUGGUUGCCUUCCACCUUUUGGCCCAUGCCAGCCUUUGGGGCUGGUGGCCCCUCCUAGUGGACCCCUGGAACCCUUCCAGUGGUCCCGGUACGUUACCGGUGACGCUCGAAACAUUUCCGGUGUCCAAAAACUCUCAUCCUAUAUAUCAAUCUUUACCUCCGGACCAUUCGGGAGCUUCUUGUGACGUCCGGGAUCUCAUCCGGGACUCCUAACAACCUUCGGUAACCACGUACACGAUUUCCCUAUAACCCCGACGUCAUCAAACAUUAAGUGUGUAGACCCUACGGGUUGGGGAGACGUGCAGACAUGACCGAGACAUCUCUCCGGCCAAUAACCAACAACGGGGUCUGGAUAUCCAUGUUGGUUCCCACAUGUUCCACGAUGAUCUCAUCAGAUGAAUCACGAUGUCAAGGAUUCAAUCAAUCCCGUAUGCAAUUCCCUUUGUUUAUCGGUAUGAUACUUGCCCGAGAUUUGAUUGUCGGUAUCCCUAUACCUUGUUCAGUCUCGUUACCCGGCAAGUCUCUUUACUCGUUCCGUAACACAUCAUCCCGUGGCUAACCAGUCACACUGAGCUCAAUAUGAUGAUGGAUUACCGAGUGGGCCCAGAGAUACCUCUCUGUCACACCGAGUGACAAAUCCCCGUCUCGAUUGGUACAACUCAACAGACACUUUCGGAGAUACCCGUAGUGCACCUUUAUAAUCACCCAGUUACAUUGUGACGUUUGGUACACCCAAAGCACUCCUACGGUUUCCAGGUGUUGCACAAUCUUACGGUCGAAGGAAAAGACACUUGACAUUAGAAAAGCUUUAGCAUACGAACAACACGAUCUAGUGCUAUGCUUAGGAUUGGGUAUUGUCCAUCACAUCGUUCCCCAAUGAUGUGAUCCCGUUAUCAACGACAUCCAAUGUCCAUGAUCAUCUAUUGAUCAACCAGCUAGCCAACUAGAGGCUUACUAGGGACACAUUGUGAUCUAUAUAUUCACACAUGUAUUACGGUUUCUGGUUAAUACAAUUAUAGUUUGAAUAAUAGGAAACUAUCAUGAACUAGGAAAUAUAAUAAUAACCAAUUUAUUAUUCCCUCUAGGGCAUAUUUUCCAACAGUCUCCCACUUGCACUAGUGUCAAUAAUCUAGUUCACAUCACUAUGUGAUUGCAAUGAAUCCAACACCCAUAUAGUUCUGGGGUUCGAUCAUGUCUUGCUUGUGAGAGAGGUUUAUUAGUCAAUGGGUCUGAACCUUUCAGAUCCGUGUGUGCUUUACAAAUCUCUGUGUCUUCAUAUAGAUACUGCUACCAUGCACCAUUUGGAACUAUUCCAAAUGACUGCUCCACUAUACGAAUCCGGUUUACUACUCAUAGUCAUUUGGAUUAGUGACAAAGCUUGCAUCGACGUAAACCCUUUACGAUGAACUCUUUAAUCAACUCCAUAAUCGAGAAAAAAAAUCCUUAGUCCACUAGUUACUAAUGAUAUCUUUGACCUCUAUCCAGUGAUCCUUUCCUGGAUCACCCUUGUACCCCUUGACUGACUCAUGGCAAGGCACACUUUAGGUGCGGUACACAGCAUAUCAUACUUAUAGAGCCUACGGCUGAUGCAUAGGGGACGACCUUCGUCCUUUCUCUUUCUUAUGCCGAGGUUGGGCUUUUGAGUCUUACUAAAAAAUUCACACCUUAUAACACAGCCAAGAACUCCUUCUUUUGCCGAUCUAUUUUGAACACUUUCAAAAAAAUUGUCAAGGCAUGCAUUUUGUUGAAAGUUCAAUUAAGCACUUUGAUCUAUCUCCAUAGAUCUUGAUGCUCAAGGUUCAGUUAGCUCACCCAGGCUUUCCUUUGAAAAACUCCUUUCAAAGAACCCUUUAUGCUUUCCAGUAUUUCUACAUUAUUUCCGAUCAACAAUAUGUCAACAAUAUAUUCAUUAGAAAUUCUAUAGUGCUCCCACUCACUUCUUUGGAAAUACAAGUUUCUNNNNNNNNNNUAUAAAACCAAAAACUUUGAUCAUCUCAUCAAAGUGUAUAUUCCAACUCCGAGAUGCUUGCUCCAGUCCAUAGAAGGAUCGAUGAAGCUUUGGAUACUUGUUAGCACCCUUUAGGAUCGACAAAAUCUUCUGGUCGUAUCACAUACAACCUUUCCUCAAGGAAACCGUCGAGGAAACAAUAUUUUUUGACAUCCUAUCUGCAAGAUUUCAUAAAUGAUGCAGCAACUGCUAACAUAAUUCCAACAGACUUUCAGCAUCGCUACGAGUGAGAAAGUUUCAUCAUAGUCAAGUCUUUGAACUUUGUCGGAAACACCUUUGCGACAAGUCGACCUUUCUUGAUGGUGACUUUUCACCAUCAUCGUCUGUCUUACUUUUAAAGGUCCAUUCAUAGUUAAUAGUCUUAUGACCAUCAGGUGGUUCUUCCAAAGUCUAUACUUUGUUUUCAUACAUGGAUCCUCUCUCGGAUUUCAUGGCCUCCAGCCAUUUGUCGGAAUCCAGGCCCACCAUCGCUUCUCCAUGUCUCGUAGGUUCAUUGUGUCCAACAACAUGACCUCUAAGACGGGAUUACCUUACCACUCUGUAGUAGUACGCAUCCUUGUCCACCUACGAGGUUUUGGCAGUGACUUGAUCCGAAACUGCAUGAUCACUAUCAUAAGCUUCCACUUCAAUUGGUGUAGGCGCCACAUGAACAACUUCCUGCGCCCUGCCAUACACUGGUUGAAGUGAUGGUUCAAUAACCUCAUCAAGUAUCCACCAUACUCCCACUCAACUCUUUCGAGAGAAAUCUUUCCUCGAGAAAGGACCCGUUUCUAGAAAUAAACACUUUUGCUUCCGGAUCUGAUAUAGGAGGUAUACGCAACUGUUUUGGGUGUCCUAUGAAGAUGCAUUUAUCCGCUUUGGGUUCGAGCUUAUCAAGCUGAAACUCUUUCACAUAAGCAUCACAACCCCAAACUUUUAAGAAAUGACAGCUUAUGUUUCUCUAAACCAUAGUUCAUACGGUGUCAUCUCAAAGGAAUCACGUGUCCCUUUUUAAAGUGAGUGCGGUUGUCUCUAAUGCCUAACCCAUAAACGAUAGUGGUAAUUUGAUAAGAAAUAUCAUAGUAUGCACUAUAUCUAAUAGGGCACGACUAUGACAUACGGACAUACCAUCAGACCAUGGUGUUCCAGGUGACAUGAGUUGUGAAACAUUUUUCACGUGAAACAAUUUUUACCUUGUCUUAAACGUUUACCAAACUCACAACUCAUAUAUAUAUAUAUAUAUANNNNNNNNNNNNNNNNNNNNNNNNNNNNNNNNNNNNNNNNNNNNNNNNNNNNNNNNNNNNNNNNNNNNNNNNNNNNNNNNNNNNNNNNNNNNNNNNNNNNCCUUUGAGGUGGCUUCCAAACCCUCACAAACUUUUCCGGGGGGUAAUCGCAUGGAUUGAUUCCUCUCCGAAAAACUCCUACCGCCUAGGAGUCUCCAACCUCCAAGAGUAACAAGAUCACGGGGAAUGCUCAAAAUUUGCUCAAAUCACAAAUAUCUUGGGUUGAGAGAAGGAGAGGGAGACGAUCUAUCUUUUGAUUGGAACAACUCUCAAAGGGGCUCACAAAUGCUCUUGGGAUCUAAGAUUUGGAGUGAGCAAAUGUGUGUGAGGUGGAAAUGUGUUCUUAUGAGGAUAAGGCUGUGUUGGGCUACCCUCUCACGAAGUGGGAGGGGGGUAUUUAUAGUGGGGAGAGAAAAAGAGCCGUUGGGGACACUUUAAGUCACACAGGGUCCGGACGUCCGACAGUUGUCGGAAGUCCGGGCGUCUGCGAGGGGUCGGACGUCCGAGGCCUGUAGAUACGACUGAAACUAUUUUGAAUUAAACAGCGNNNNNNNNNNCGCGAGGGGUCGGAUGUCCGACAGGGGUCGGUCGUCCGAGGCCUGUAGAUACGACUGAAACUAUUUUGAAUUAAACAGCGACCGGACGUCCGACAGGGGUCGGUCGUCUGAGGCCUGUAGAUACGACUGAACCUAUGUUGAAUUUAUCAGCCACCGGACGUCCGGAGAGGACCGGAAAUCUGAGUUAUACAGCUCAACUUCUACUGGUGGUAGGCUCCGGAUUUCCGACUGGUGUCGGACGUUCGGCGCUCGGACGUCCGAAGGGAGCCGGAUUUCCGAGAUAUAGAACUCAACUUCUACUGGUGCAGGNNNNNNNNNNCGAGGCCUGUAGAUACGACUGAACCUAUGUUGAAUUUAUCAGCCAGCGGACGUCCGGAGAGAACCGGAAAUCCGAGUUAUACAGCUCAACUUCUACUGGUGGUAGGUUUCGGAUUUCCGACGGGUGUCGGGCGUCCGGCGCUCGGACGUCCGGAGGGAGCCGGAUUUCCGAGAUAUAGAACUCAACUUCUACUGGUGCAGGCUUCCGGAUUUCCGGGACUUGGCCGGACAUCCGGGCCUCGGACGUCCGGAGGGAGCCGGAAGUCCGAGGUAUAUGGCUCUGAUUUCUCUAGUAUAGGAUUCCAGAUUUCUGAACUAGUUGGUCGUACGGUCCUCGGACGUCCGGAGAAAGCCGGAUGUCCGAGGCACUGGUUCUNNNNNNNNNNAGAUUUCCGGGACUUGGCCGGACAUCCGGGCCUCGAACGUCCGGAGGGAGUCGGAAGUCCGAGUUAUAUGGCUCUGAUUUCUCUGGUAUAGGAUUCCGGAUUUCCGAACUAGUCGGUCGUCCGGUCCUCGGACGUCCGGAGAAAGCCGGAUGUCCGAGGCACUGGUUCUGUUUUCAGAUAACAACAAAACAGUGGAGAUGUGGUCUGAGGAGAAAGUGAUGAUGUAGUUUGAGCAAGUUCAUCGCAAAACCUGUGAUCCCCUCUUAAUAGUGCGGGAUCCCUAAGGACUCAAGAAUCAUAAAAGAGUACUGAUGAUCCAUACUUGAGUGUAUANNNNNNNNNNNNNNNNNNNNNNNNNNNNNNNNNNNNNNNNNNNNNNNNNNNNNNNNNNNNNNNNNNNNNNNNNNNNNNNNNNNNNNNNNNNNNNNNNNNNCAAUGGGUUUCUUUAUCGGAGGGGCAACGACUUUGCACUCUUCUUGGAGUUACCCUUCUUUCGGAGGGGCAACGACUUUGCACUCUUCUUGGAGUUACCCUUCUUUCCCUUGUCGUUUUUCUUAGAACAGGUGGUCUUAUUGACCAUCAACACUUGGUGCUCUUUCUGGAUUUCUGACUCUGCAACUUUCAACAUUGUAAACAGCUCGGCGAGUGACUUAUUCAUACCUUGCAUGUUAUAAUUCAACAUAAAGAUCUUAUAGCAAGGUGGCAGUGAUUGAAGAACUCUGUCAGUGAUAGCCUCUUGCGGGAGAGCAAUCCCCACCUCAGCUAGACGGUUAGAGUACCCAGACAUUCUGAGUACGUGUUCACUGACAGGCCCGCUCUCCUCCAUUUUGCAAGCGUAGAACUUACCGGAGGUUUCAUACCUCUCGAUCCGGGCAUUCUUCUCAAAGAAAAACUUCAACUCUAGAACAUCUCAUAUGCUCCAUGACAUUCAAAACGUCUUUGAAGUCUCAAUUCUAAGCCAUACAAAACUACACAUUCAACUAAUGAGUAGUCAUCCUUACGCGACUGUCAAGCGUUCAUAACGUCUUGGGUCGCUGUAUUGGGUGGUGCAUCACCUAGCGCUACAACAAGGACAUAUUGCUUUUGGGCAGCCGUGAGGAUAAGCCUAAGAUUAUGGGCCCAGUCAACAAAGUUUUUUCCAUCAUCUUUCAACUUAGCUUUCUCUAGGAUCGCAUUAAAAUUCAGGGUUGCUACUGCGCGAGCCAUUGAUCUACAACAUAAAAUUUUGCAAAGAUUACUUAGACUAUGUUCAAGAUAAUUGAGUUUAGCUAAUCAUAUUACUAAUAAAAUCCCACUCAAAUUGACAUCCCUCUAGUCAUUCCAGUGUCACAUGAUCCAAAUUCACUAACUCAAGUCUGAUCAUCAGGUGAGUUGAGUAUACUUUAAAUGGUGAACGUAGAGUCUAUCACACCUGAUUGUUCCGCGUGUGCAACUGUUUUGCACCAGUUGUAUGUGAACGUAGAGUCUAUCACACCCGAUUAUCACGUGGUGUCUCGAAACGAUGAACUGUUGCAACGGUGCACAGUCGGGGAGAACACAAUUUUAUCUUGAAAUUUUAGCGAGGGAUCACCUUAUAAUGCUACCGUCGUCCAAAGAAAAAUAAGGUGCAUAAAAGGAUUAACAUCACAUGCAAAUCAUAAGUGACAUGAUAUGACCAUGAACUUGUGCUUCUUGAUCUCCAUCAUCGGCGCCACACCAUGAUCUCCAUCAUCAUGAUCUCCAUCAUCGUGCUACCAUUGAGGUUGUUGCGCUAACUAUGGCGUUGCUACUAAAGCUACUACUAGAGAUAAAGCAAAGCAUCUCCAAGCGCAAAAUAAUUAAAGACAUCCCUAUGGCUCCUGUCGGUUGCCGUAGCAUUGACGUGCAAGUCGAUAUUUAACUACUACAAUAUGAUCAUCUCAUACAUCCAAUAUAUCAUAUCAUGUCAUUGGCCAUAUCACAUCACAUGCAUACCCUGCAAAAACAAGUUAGACGUCCUCUAAUUUGUUGUUGCAAAUUUUACGUGGCUGCUAUGGUAUCUAGUAUGAUCGCAUCUUACUUACGCAAAGCCACAACGGUGAUUAUACAAAUUGCUAUUUAACCUUCUCAAAGGGCCGCCUCGGUCAAAUCCGAUUCAACUAAAGUUGAAGAAACAGACACCCGCCAGUCACCUUUAUGCAACAAGUUGCAUGUUAGUUGAUGAAACCGGUCUACCGUAAGCAUACGAGUAAUGUUGGUCCAGGCUGCUUCAAUCCAACAAUACCGCCGAAUCAAGAAAAGACUCUGAAGGGCAGCAAAUUGAACAUCAACGCCCACAAACUCUUUUGUGUUCUACUCGAGAUAUCAUCUAUGCAUGAACCUAGCUCAUGAUGCCACUGUUGGGGAACGUCGCAUGGGAAACAAAAUUUUCCUACACACACGCAAGACCUAUCAUGGUGAUGAUCAUCUACACGAGGGGAGAUCGGAUCCACAUACCCUUGUAGAUCGCUAAGCGGGAAGCGUUAAGAAACGCGGUUGAUGUAGUCAAACAUUGUAACAUCCCAAUUUUCGUAAAUUCGGAUGUUAAUAGAUCAUUCAUUUGCAUCUCAUAUUUUAUGCAUCAUUGCGUUCUUCUGAAAAAAUUUAUCGUUAUGUGGCUGCGGGCAAUUUAUCGGAGUGGAGAUAAUAUGACUUCUCCCUUGUGAGUUAAAGUCACCAUUUUGGUUUUUGCAAAUUUUUCUAAACUCCGAAUUAUUUUAGUUGAGUUGUUUUUUUUCAAUCGCGUUGUGUGACCUAGUGCAUAAAACUAUUUUUUAAAAGUUGCAUUAGGUGGAACUAGNNNNNNNNNNNNNNNNNNNNNNNNNNNNNNNNNNNNNNNNNNNNNNNNNNNNNNNNNNNNNNNNNNNNNNNNNNNNNNNNNNNNNNNNNNNNNNNNNNNNUCCCGGGCAUGCACUGGGUUUUCCAGGGAGCCGAUCAACCGUCCUUCACCCAGUGUUGCAUUGCGUCCGAGGUCUUGAAAAUCUUGUCUUAGUCCGGUCUUGAUUAGUAUAUCAAUCUCGCAUCACUCGUGGUAUACACUCAACCGAUAACCCGUCUACUUAAGCAUAGAGAAUAUAACAUUGUCGUCCCGGGGCCAAGUAUCGGGGUGUUGGUGUUCCUACCACAUGAUACUACAACUAUGACUAAAGUUUCCAAGUACCUAGGCAGCAUGCAAAUAGGGCAAAGAAGGUGAUCUACUAUGCAUUGAAAACAUAGGUAAAAUAACAUGAUCAAAGAUGACUUGCCUUGAUGAUAGUUGUCCUGCUCGAGCGUCUCUAAGUAACACGCUUCGCACUCCGGAUGAUCUACCGAUACAUACACAAAGCACACCAUAAGCAAUCCAAUCAUGCCACAAGUAAAAAUAACAUCACAUGCGAUGAUUUGCAAAAGACUACGCAAAAGAAUUUUAUCGCGCGCCGGUAGGCAGAAACUUGUUUCUGUUGAAAACACCAGUAAAAAUACUUUAAAAAAUCUGAAACUUCUACCACAGUAAGAUUUUAUCACUAGAAAACAGUAGCAAAAAGAAUCAACUCAAUAUCAUUUUUCAAACUCCUGGAAUAAGCAAAACAGUGUUUAAACUAAAUCUGCUCUAACUUAUAUUUAAAAAUUUCAAACACAGACAAAUUAUAUGUUUUUAAAAACUACAGAUAAUUUGUGAGCUACUGGAAAAAGAAUCAAUGUCAUUGGACGUAGGGAUAAAAAGUUGUGAUCAAAACAAGAUUGAAAGUUUCUGUUUUCGAAAUCUGGACAGAAAAAUUACUAAACUGCUAGUGCUAAUGAGGUUACACGUGGCAAGAUGCUACUGGUUGUGGUGGCUGUUUGUUUCGUGACUUCGAGCAAAUGGCCUAAGGCUAACAAGGUCGCCGGUUAAUGCAUAAGUGGCUAAAAGAACCUAAUGGUUUUCUGGAAUAAACCGAAGGGGUACUAGUGUUCUAAUCCUAGGCAUUGCAUGGGAUUGCAUGGGAUCUAAUGGCUAGGAGGGGUUGCAUGCAAAUAGAGAGAGAGAGGGAGUUAGCUACCUGUUGCUGGAGGGUGUUGCACCGUGGAAGGAGAGUUGGCCGGCGGGGAGGAGGGAGUAGCUCCGGCGGUGGAGACGUCGGGCGGCGGGGGAGUGGUUCCUCCUCCGCGGGGAAGAGGCGGCGGUGAAGAGAGAGCUCGGGGAGGGCUCCUCCUCCUNNNNNNNNNNNNNNNNNNNNNNNNNNNNNNNNNNNNNNNNNNNNNNNNNNNNNNNNNNNNNNNNNNNNNNNNNNNNNNNNNNNNNNNNNNNNNNNNNNNNCGUGACUUACAGUUAGUCACAUUGCUUGCAAGGCUUGUGUGUGAUGUUGUAUUACCAAGUGGGCCCCGAGAUACCUCUCCGUCACACGGAGUGACAAAUCCCAGUCUUGAUCCAUACUAACUCAACGGACAACUUCGGAGAUACAUGUAGAGCACUUUUAUAGUCACCCAGUUACGUUGCGACGUUUGAUGCACACAAGGUAUUCCUCCGGUGCCAGUGAGUUAUAUGAUCUCAUGGUCAUAGGAACAAAUACUUGACACAAAGAAAACAAUAGCAAUAAAACGACACGAUCAAUAUGUUACGUUCAUAGUUUGGGUCUUGUCCAUCACAUGAUUCUCCUAAUGAUGUGAUCCCGUUAUCAAGUGACAACACUUGCCUAUGGCCAGGAAACCUUGACCAUCUUUGAUCAACAAACUAGUCAACUAGAGGCUCACUAGGGACAGUGUGUUGUCUAUGUAUCCACACAUGUAUUUGAGUUUCCAAUCAAUACAAUUAUAGCAUGGAUAAUAAACGAUUAUUAUGAACAAGGAAAUAUAAUAAUAGCUAAUUUAUUAUUGCCUCUAGGGCAUAUUUCCAACAGUCUCCCACUUGCACUAGAGUCAAUAAUCUAGUUCACAUCACCAUGUGAUUUUAACGAAUCCAACACCCAUAUAGUUAUUGGGUCUGAUCACGUCUUGCUCGUGAGAGAGGUUUUAGUCAACGGUUCUGAAUCUUUCAGAUCCGUGUGUGCUUUACAAAUCUUUAUGUCAUCUUAUAGAUGUUGCUACUACGUGCUAUUCGAAAAUACUCCAAAUAUAUACUCUACCAUACGAAUCUGUUUUACUAUUCAUAGUUAUUCGGAUUAGUGUCAAAGCUUGCAUCAACGUAACCCUUUACGAUGAACUCUUUAACCACCUCCAUAAUCGAGAAAAAUUGCUUAGUCCAUUAGUUACUAAGGAUAACUUUGACCGCUGUUUAGUGAUUCAAUCCUGGAUCACUCUCUGUACCUCUUAACAGACUUGUGGCAAGGCACACAUCAGGUGUGGUACACAGUAUGGCAUACUGUGGAGUCUACGGCUAAGGCAUAGGGGACGACCUUCGUCCUUUCUCUUUCUUCUGUAGUGGUCGGGCUUUUGAGUCUUACUCAAAUUCACACCUUACAACACAACCAAGAACUCCUUCUUUGCCGAUCUAUUUUGAACUCCUUCAAAAACUUGUCAAGGCAUGCAUUUCAUUUGAAAGUUCUAUUAAGCGUAUUGAUCUAUCUCUAUAGAUCUUGAUGUUGAAUGUUAAAAUAGCUCUAUCCAGGUCUUCCUUUGAAAAACUCCUUUCAAACAACCUUUUAUGCUUCACACAAAUUCCACAUUACUUCUGAUCAACAAUAUGUCAACAACAUAUACUUAUCAGAAAUUCUAUAGUGCUCCCACUCACUUCUUUGGAAAUACAAGUUUCUCAUAAACCUUGCACAAACCCAAAAGCUUUGAUCAUCACAUCAAAGGGUAUAUUCCAACUUCGAGAUGCUUGCACCAGUCCAUAAAAGGAUCGUUGGAACUUGCAUACUUGUUAGUAUCUUUAGGAUCGACAAAACCUUGAUUGUAUCACAUACAAUCUUUCCUCAAGGAAACCGUCGAGGAAACAAUGUUUUGACCUCCUAUAUGUGCAAUAUUUCACAAAUAAUGCAGCAACUACUAACAUAAUUCCGACAGACUUUUAGCAUCACUACGAGUGAGAAAGUCACAUCAUAGUCAACUCUUUGAUUUUGUCGAAAACAUCUUUGCGACAAGUCAAGCCUUUCUUAAUAGUGACUUAUCACCAUCAUCGUCUGUCUUCCUGUUAAAGAUCCAUCUUUACUUAAUAGUCUUACUACCAUCAAGUAUUUCUUCCAAAGUCUACACUUUGUUUUCAUACAUGGAUCCUCUCUCGGAUUUCAUGGCCUCCAGCCAUUUGUAAGAAUCCGGGCCCACCAUUGCUUCUCCAUAGCUCGUAGGUUUAUUGUUGCUCAACAACAUGACCUCUAAGACAGGGUUACUGUACCACUCUGCAGCAGUACGCGACCUUGUCGACCUAUGAGGUUUGUAGUAACUUGAUGUGAAGCUCAAUGAUCAGCAUCAUCAGUUUCCACUUCAAUUGGUGUAGGCGCCACAAGAACAUCUUCCUGUGCCCUGCUACACACUGGUUGAAGUGACAGUUCACUACCCUCAUCAAGUUCCGCCACCCUCCCACUCAAUUCUUUCGAGAGAAACCUUUCCUCGAGAAAGGACCCAUUUCUAGAAACAAACACUUCGCUUCCGGAUCUGAGAUAGGAGAUGCACCCAACUGUUUUGGAUAUCCUAUGAAGAUGCUUUUAUCCGUUUUGGGUUCGACCUUAUCAGACUGAAACUUUUUCACAUAAGCAUCGCAGCCCCAAACUUUUAAGAAACAACAUCUUAGGUUUCUCCAAACCAUAGUCUAUACUGUGUCAUCUCAACGGAAAUACGCGGUGCCCUAUUUAAAAUGAAUGCGGUUGUCUCUAAUGUAUAAACCAUAAACGAUAGUGGUAAUUCGAUAAGAGACAUCAUAGUAUGCACCAUAUCAAAUAGGGCGUGGCUAUGACAUUCAGACACAUCAUCACACUAUGGUGUUCCACGUGGCAUGAACUGAGAAACAAUUUUCACUUUGUCCUAACUGCGUACCAAAAACUCGUAACUCAGAUAUUCAUCUCUAUGAUCAUAUCGUAGACAGUUUAUCCUCUUGUCACGACGAUCUUCACUCUUAAAUUGCUUUGAACUUUUCAAUAUUUUAGACCUGUGAUUCAUCAAGUAAAUACUCCUGUAUCUACUCAAAUCGUCAGUGAAGUAAGAACAUAACGAUAUCCACUGCGUGCCUUAGCACUCAUUGGACUGCACACAUCAAAAAUGCAUUACUCCCAACAAGUUACUCUCUUGUUUCAUGUGGCAUGUUUUGCAUGUCUCAAGUGAUUCAAAAUCAAGUGAGUCCAAACGAUCUAUCUCUAUGGAGUUUCUUCAUGUAUUUAUACCAACAGGUAUGGUUUGCAUGUCUCAAAUGUUUCAAAAAUGAGUGAGUACAAAGAUCCAUCAGGAUGGAGCUUCUUCAUGCAUUUUAUACCAACAUGACUCAACUGGUAGUGCCACAACUAAGUGGUACUAUCAUUAUUACUUUGUAUCUUUUGGCACCAAUAUUAUGAACAUGUGUAACACUACGAUCGAUAUUCAAUAAACCAUUGAGGGUAAUUAUUCAAGCAAAUAGAAUAACUAUUAUUCUCUUUAAAUGAAUAAUCGUAUUGCAAUAAACACGAUCCAAUCAUGUUCAUGCUCAACGCAAACACCAAAUAACAAUUAUUUAGGUUUUACCACCAAUCCCGAUGAUAGAGGGAGCGUGCGAUGUUUGAUCACAUCAACCUUGGAAACACUUCCAACACGUAUCGUCACCUCACCUUUAGCUAGUAUCCGUUUAUACCGUAUCUUUCAUUUCGAGUUACUAAUCACUUAGCAACCGAACCGGUAUCCAAUACCCUCGUGCUACUAGGAGUACUAGUAAAGUACACAUUAAUAUCAUGUAUAUCAAAUAUACUUCUGUCGACUUUGCCAGCCUUCUUAUCUACCAAGUAUCUAGGGUAGCUCCGCCUCAGUGACCGUUCCCCUCAUAACAGAAGCACUUAGUCUCGGGUUUGGGUUCAAUUUUGGGUUUCUUCAUUAGAGCAGCAACUGGUUUGCCGUUUCAUGAAGUAUCCCUUCUAGCCCUUGCCCUUCUUGAAACUAGUGGUUUUACUAACCAUCAACAAUUGAUGCUCCUUCUUGGUUUCUACUUUUGCAGUGUCAAACAUUGCGAAUCACUCAAGGAUCAUCAUAUCUAUCCUUGAUUUGUUUAUAGUUCAUCACUAAGCUCUAGCAGCUUAGUGGCAGUGACUUUGGAGAACCAUCACUAUCUCAUCUGGAAGAUUAACUCCCACUUGAUUCAAGCGAUUGUUGUACUCACACAAUCUCAGAACAUGCUCAACGAUUUGAGCUUUUCUCCUUUACUUUGUAGGCAAAGAAUCUUGUCGGAGGUCUUAUACCUCUCAACAAGGGCACGAGCCUGAAACCUCAAUUUCAUCUCUUAGAACAUCUCUUAUGUUCCGCAACGUUUUCAAAACAUCUUCGGUGCCUUGCUUCUAAACCAUUUAGUAUUGCGCACUGAACUAUCAGGUAGUCAUAAAAAACGUGUAUGUCAGAUGUUCGCAACAUCCACAGACGACGCUCGAGGUGCAGCACACCGAGUGGUGCAUUAAGGACAUAAGCCUUCUGCGUAGCAAUGAGGACAAUCCUUAGUUUUACGGACUGAGUCCGCAAAGUUGCUACUAUCAACUUUCAACUAAAUUUUCUCUAGGAACAUAUAAAAACAGUAGAGCUAUAGCGCAAGCUACAUCGUAAUUCGCAAAGAUCAUUAGACUAUGUUCAUGAUAAUUAGUUCAAUUAAUCAUAUUACUUAAGAACUCCCACUCAAAAAGUACAUCUCUCUAGUCAUUUGAGUGGUACAUGAUCCAAAUCCACUAUCUCAAGUCCGAUCAUCACGUGAGUCGAGAAUAGUUUCAGUGGUAAGCAUCUCUAUGCUAAUCAUAUCAACUAUAUGAUUCAUGCUCGACCUUUGGAUCUCAUGUGUUCCGAGGCCAUGUCUGCACAUGCUAGGCUCGUCAAGCUUAACCCGAGUGUUCCCCGUGUGCAACUGUUUUGCACCCGUUGUAUGUGAACGUUGAGUCUAUCACACCCGAUCAUCACAUGGUGUCUCAAAACGAUGAACUGUCGCAACGGUGCACAGUCGGGGAGAACACAAUUUCGUCUUGAAAUUUUAGUGAGAGAUCACCUCAUGAUGCUACCGUCGGUCUAAGCAAAAUAAGGUGCAUAAAAGGAUUAACAUCACAUGCAAUUCACAAGUGACAUGAUAUGGCCAUCAUCAUGUGCUUCUUGAUCUCCAUCACCAAAGCACCGGCACGAUCUUCUUGUCACCGGCGCCACACCAUGAUCUCCAUCAUCAUGAUCUCCAUCAACGUGUCGCCAUCGGGGUUGUCGUGCUACUUAUGCUAUUACUACUAAAGCUACUUCCUAGCAAUAUAGUAAACGCAUCUAUGCAUCCACACAUGUAUUUGAGUUUCCAAUCAAUACAAUUCUAGCAUGGAUAAUAAACGAUUAUUAUGAACAAGGAAAUAUAAUAAUAACUAUUUAUUAUUGCCUCUAGGGCAUAUUUCUAACACAAAACACCAGGCUAGAAAGGCCGAGUCUUCCACCUUUUACCAAGUAUAUAGGUGCAUUAAAUUAAAUAGCAAUUAUAUGGUGAUAUAACAAGGAACCCAUGUUAACACAUGGAAGCAAAUGCACCUGCAACUAGCAACGCUAACACAUGGUUAAGCAAGCGGUAACAUAGCCAAUCAGUGGUUUGCUAGGUUGUGAACAGGUUAAGGGAUUUCAUGGCAAUGUUGAGAGGCUGAUAUUUAACAGGUGAUAGGCAGCGAGACAUAGCGAUAGAAAUGAUAAAACCAGCAUGACAAUGAUAGUAAUGGUAUAUGGGGAAAUGGUCAUCUUGCCUGAGAUCCCGCUUGGAAGAAGAAUGACUCCGUGAAGCAGACAAACCGAUGUACUCGAACGGGUCCUCACUUUCCGACACGCUUGCGGAGCUCUAUCGAGAGGAAGCAAAUCGGAAACAAGAAUCAACACACGAUAUUCACCACGACACAUGCACAACAUAAUGCUCAACAUGUAUGAUGCAUGAUCGACCUAAUGCAAGGCAUGACAUGACAAUUCACUCCAAUCAAACACUACAUAUUAUGUGAAGUUCAAUAUGCAAGGAGUUGCAUAUUGACGAAACUCCACAUACGAAUUAUUUAGUUCCAUCCCGAUUAGGUACGCGGCAAUAUUAAAUGUUGGUUAAACAUGGCAAUACAUGAAGCGUAAUUAAGCUACCUAUCUAGGCAUUUUAAGUGAGGUCACAAACGACAUAUAGCAUCUCCGAGAUGACCCCACACGUUAAAUUAGAAUUAUGUCCAGAUCUGAACAAACAUGUUUUAAUAUUUGUUAAACAUCAAAAUAAAGUGGUUCACGUGAUUCUACGCGUCGUUCCAAUCUACUUACACAUAGAGAACAUCUCCAACGGAGCUACGGUUCAAAAGAUAUGCUCAUCGCAAGAUAUGAUGUCAUGAAUGCAAUAUGUAUGCGAAUGCCAGCCACAAGCAUUCAAAACCAAGAAGGCAGCGACAUAAUACGAAACCACACGAGAUUCUAAGCAAGUUUCAUAUAGGACACGAUCAAAACGGAGCAACGGUUCAACAAAUACAAGCUAGACAAGAAAGUCAUAAUCUGCCAAAAACAACAACAUGACAUUUUCUACACCCCAAAACAACAAGCUACAUAAAUCGAAAUGCUCAGACAAGACAUGAGACAGUAGAGGACAAGAUGCAAUUCAACACCCUACUAAUAACAUCUACCAUGGCAGCAUGGAUCACUAGUAAAUGAACUCACAAAAUGGCAUCUCACACACAAUUUCAGACUUAGUGAAAAUAUCAGUUUUUGACACUGCAGUUUUUGAUCUGAAGGCAUAUUGACAGCAGCAAAACUAUAUGCUACAAGGCACCAAAUGACAUGAAAAUUGACAGCAUGCUAUAGAAUCUUAAGGACUACAACUAACUACAUUGAACCAACCUCAAAAGAGCUAUAGAUCACUAGAAAAACUCAUGGAAGACUCUAUCCACCCAAUACUCAGGCAAGGGUAAUUUCAUGCUAAUUGCUCAGAUUGAGGGGAAGAUCAGUCGGCUGCGCCAAGGCGAUGACAUGUCAGUGAUGGCAUAUAUAGUAGAGCUACAGGCUUUGUGGGCAGAGCAGGAUAACUGUGAUCCUCUGGAACUCUAUGAUGCGGCGUGCAUCGAGUCAGGGCGCAAGUGGAUUGCACGCAGGCGCAUGCUGAAACUGUUGGAAGGCCUCAGAGGUUGCUUUCAUGGCAGGGGGCUUCCCUGUUGCACCAACCUCUCUUGCCAACUAUUGAGGAGACUAUUGCAGCAAUGUCUCAAGAGGAGGUGAGGCUAUCUCUUGAGCAUGCAAACGUGAAGUUUGUGUCGGCUUUGACAUUUGCAGUCACUGAGCGCAUGGAGUGGGGAGAUCCCAACAAAUGUCAUAUUUGUGGGGAGGUAGGUCAUUGGAAGAGGGAAUGUCCAACUCGUGGUAGAGGCAGGGGAUACAACAGAGGGGGCACUGGCAGAGGCAGGUAUGCUCGAGGCAGAGGUGGAUACCCAUGGAACUCAGGGGGUCAACUUUCUAGGGGCAGAGGUGGCUAUUCAGGAAACUCAGGGGGCAGGGCACAUAUGGUAGUUGAAGAGGACACUGGGACGUCACAGGGCAAGGGAGUUGAUUAGGCUGCCUAUGGAGACUUUGCUCACUGGGCCUCCACUGAUGAAGGUAAUUCGAUGAAGGCAUUUCUUCCUCCUAAUGAGAGUGCUUCAAAGUGGGUCUUAGACUCUGGAGCAUCUAAGCAUGUUGCGGGUAAUUCCUGUGUGUUUUAGUCUUAACAUAAGCAUGCUCCUACUCACAAGGGCACUAUACAAACUGUCGAUGGUACCAAUCAGCCUGUCGUAGGGGUUGGCACAGUCAAAUGCGCUUCAGCCAUCUCCUUAUCGUCAGUUUUGCAUGUGUCAGCUUUUCCUGUCAAUUUGGUCUCUUUCAGUGCUCUCAUUGAUCAAAUAGACUGUCAUGUGAUCCUUGACAAGUUUGGUUGCUUGAUUCAGGAGCGAUAGACGAGCCAGACGGUUGGGACUGGCACUAGGCGUAGGGGGCUCUGGUACAUGGACCAAGAGGUGCAACCGGACUUGGUGUGUGCUGCGGCCAUGGAGGACAAGGAGAAGCAGGCGAUGAUCCAUCAUUGUAGAAUGGGUCAUGUAUCUUUUGAUAAGAUGAGUAGAAUCUUUCCGGAUGUUAUGUGUGGAAUAGGCAAGGGCAAGUUGACAUGUGAUGCUUGCGAAUAUGCAAAACACACACGAGCCUCAUAUGUGAGUAAGGGGCUUAGGAGCAUAUCUCCUUUUAUGCUCAUUCAUUCGGAUGUAUGGACUAGCCCAGUAGUGUCAAUGAAUGGAAAGAAGUAUUUUGUUACCUUUAUUGACUGCUAUUCUCGUAUGACCUGUAUUUACUUGAUGCGUCACAAGGAUGAGGUGUUUAGCUGUUUUCAGAACUUCCAUGCUCUUGUAAAGAACCAGUUUCAGGUGCAGGUCAACGUGCUCAGGACUGACAAUGGUACAGAGUAUGUGAACAAUAUUUUUGGGGAUUUCAUGGCUAACUAAGGGAUUCUUCAUCAAACUUCAUGUCCGGACACCCCACCUCAGAAUGGAGUGGCAGAAAGGAAGAAUCAUCAUAUUCUUGAGGUUGCUCGGUCAUUAAUGUUUACCAUGAAUGUGCCUAAGUUCUUAUGGGAUGAAGUAGUUAUGACAGCCACGUACCUGAUCAACCGGACACCUUCCAGGAUAUUAGGUAUGAAAUCUCCGUCUGAGUUGCUCAUUGGAGAUAAUAAGUUUGUUGUUUCCCCAAAGUUGUUUGGCAGUACUUGCUUUGUUCGUGAUCACCGACCAUCUGUUGGAAAGCUUGAUCCUCGGGCAGUGAAGUUUGUCUUCCUAUGAUACUCUUCUAGUCAGCAGGGGUAUAAAUGUUGGUAUCCCUCUGAAAAACGCAGGUUCGUGAGUAUGGAUGUUACCUUCAGGGAGUCCGAGCCAUUCUAUGGUACGCCGACUGAUCUCGUUCUGCUAUUUGCAGAGCUUGACCACCUACAUCAUGUGCACGAUGGUCAAGAGGGGGAGAAGGAUAUGUCUCAUACUCAGGGUGUUGGCAAUAACACUGCUAAUGAUGUGCAAGUUCAGGUCCAACCAAUAGUGGGAACAAUUCCGGUUAGUACUCUCACUGAUGAUGAUGUGCAUGUUCCUGUCGAGCCAACCGUCGAGACACUUAAUAUUGGUGCUCUUCGGGUUCCUGUUCGGGAUCGAUGGCAGACGAACACCCUAGUGUACUCUCGACGGCAACCACAUGUGCAAGGGGAGCAGCAAGGUAGUGAGGCAAGAGUGCAGGGGGAGCAGCAAGGUAGUGAGGCAAGAGUGCAGGGGGAGCAGCAAGAUAGUGAGACGAGCUCAUCUGACACAGUGGAGCUGCCCAUUGCAUUGCGAAAGGCUACACGUGAAGCGGCAAGAAAGGGUGAAGUAGCAAGGAAGGCUCUACCGAAGGAUGAUGCUUGUGAUGAUCUUGAUAUUGGCAAUUUUGUGUCUUAUAAGGCUUUGUCACCCACAUAUAAGGCGUUUGUUGCCUCCCUUCAAACUGUGUCAAUUCCAAAGGAUUUGAAGGCUGCAAAGCAAGAUCCGAGGUGGCGUGAAGCAAUGAUAGAAGAGUUGGAAGCACUAAGGAAAAACAAGAGAUGGGUGCUAACCACAUUGCCGGCAGAAAAGAAAGGAGUGAGUUGUAAGUGGAUCUAUAGAGUGAAGCAGAAUCCUGAAGGGAAGGUGGAACGGUAUAAGGCCAGAUUGGUCGCCACAGGAUAUAGUCAAACUUAUCGAAUUGACUAUGAUGAGACGUUUGCUCCCGUGGCAAAGAUGAACACAGUAAGGAUAUUGGUCUCCUGUGCUGCAAACUUUGGGUGGAAGUUGCAUCAAUUAGAUGUCAAGAAUGCCUUCUUGCAUGGUGAGUUGCAAGAAGAAGUGUACAUGGAAAUACCACCAGGUUUUGGUACUUCAGAGACUACGGGGAAGGUAUGCAGGCUGAAGAAAUCCUUGUAUGGACUGAAGCAAACACCAAGGGCCUGGUUUGAUAGGUUCAGACGUGCUGUCCGUGGUAUGGGGUAUGGUCAGUGUAACGGUGACCACACGAUGUUCUACAAGCACUCUGAUCGGAAGAUCACCAUUCUUGCUGUUUAUGUGGAUGACAUUAUCAUCACUGGAGAUGAUGAGGAGGAAAUAGAGAGAUUGAAGGGUUAUUUGAGCAAGGAGUUUGAGGUAAAGGCUUUGGGUAACUUAAAAUACUUUCUUGGCAUUGAAGUGGCUCGGACAGAGAAGGGAAUCUCUUUGUGCCAAUGAAAAUACACCUUGGGUCUCUUGAGUGACGUGGGCAUGAUGGGAUGUCGUACUGCCCCUACUCCGAUUGAACAAAAUCACCAAGUGACAACACAAUCAGGAGAGCUAGUGAAUAAGGAAGAGUAUCAAAAACUGGUUGGAAUGUUGUUGUACUUGUGUCAUACCAGGCCUGACAUUACGUAUGCUACGGGGGUGGUGAGCAGGUACAUGCAUGAACCAAGGAGUGGGCAUCUUGAUAUUGUGCACAGAAUCCUGAGAUACUUGAAGGGGACUCCGGGUAAAGGGUUGUGGUUUGGGAAGAGUGGACAUCUUGAGGUGGAUGGCUAUAGUGACUCUGACUGGUCCAGUUGUCAAGAUGAUAGAAGAUCAACUUCUGGUUACUGCGUGUUUGUGGGAGAAAAUUUGGUAUCAUGGAGAAGCAAGAAACGGCCGGUUGUGUCUAGAUCAACAGCAGAAGCUGAGUAUAGAGCAUUAUCUCAAUGGUUGUGUGAGAUACUCUGGGUGAAGUACCUACUGAGCGAGUUGAAACUUCUGAGGAAGGGGCCCUUGAAGGUGUGGUGUGACAAUUAGUCAGCUAUAGCCAUCGCUAGUAACCCAGUUCAACAUGAUAGGACAAAGCAUGUGGAAAUUGAUCGGUUCUUCAUUAAGGAGAAGCUUGAUGCCGGGUCAUCAGCCUUACUCAUGUCAGUUCUGGGCAGCAGUUUGCAGAUUGUUUGACAAAGGGUUUGGGAACAAAGGAUUGUAACUUGGCAUGUGACAAGAUGGGAAUGAUAGAUAUCUACCACCCAUCUUGAGGGGGAGUGUUGAACCGGUAUGGCCCAGCCCAUACAAGUUAUCUCUUAGGGCCGAGGCCCAUGUAGUGGGACUAACCUAAAAGGAGGCUCCCAGCCAUCUCCCGUUCCUGAGACAGCCGCCAAACACAAAACACUCGUGCUGGAGGUACUCCUCUCUCCCUCCCGUACUCCUCUCUCCCUCCCGUUCCUACAGUAAAUGGUCCUCUUGACCUAUUAUAUUUUGGAUAAGGUUGGGCCAGAUUUCAUUCAAAUGAACAUUGUAAAGUUUGCACUGUCAUGUAGGAGUACUAGAUAUGUUGAAAUUUCAGACCAAACAAGUUUCCUACUUCUCCCCUUCAUGAGCACUUCAUUUUUUUCUUAAUAUAAUUUAGUUUUGCCAUUCGUAUUUUUGUGAUUGGUAGAUAAAAGCCCGCACAGCUGCACUUAGCAUUUAUAGUACUAUAUAUAUAUUCAGCUAAUCGUACAAGAACCAUCUUUGUAACAGAUCCAGGUUUAUAUGUGUCUCCCUAUACUUAAACGCUUAUGUUGUAAGGUUUGGUGGUCAACUGGAGUUCUAAAUUCCUAGAUAUAGCUCUAAAUAAGGUUUCCUCUGUUAUGCAGUAUAUCCAUAUUAUAAUUGGAGCAUAGGAGUUGUACUACCUUGCACAUAAUGAACAGAACAAUUGUUCACCUUGAUAGAAGUUAUUUUUGAGCUCCUUGGGAAAUAUGAGUCGCUCUUGUGCUUGCAUAAGUGAUCUUUUGAUGAAUAAUAUACUGUUCUCCUGUUACUAUAUACAUUAUGUCAAUAUUUUUCUAUUUGCUAAACUCAUUAAUGGUCUCCAAAACUGGGCCAUAGUAGAUGUCAUUGCCUUGCUUCCCUUUCAACAAAUGUAUAUCCUUUUUAUACUUGCUAUGUUUGUGUCAUUCCUUCUAUGUUUUCAGUGAAUUUGUAGCCGACAAGAAGUUGAUUGAAACAUUGCAGUUUCUUGGUAAGCAGAAAAGACAUGUUCAUGUUGAAUUACCAAAGCCCAGGCUUCAAGUGAGAUCAUUCACUUGAGUCUCAAUGGUUUAUUCCAAAUUUUUGAGUUCACUCAUUUCAUUUUUAACGAAAAAUUCAAGUUCCACUUAUGCAUUAAUUGGCCGCUCAUUUCCAUGAAGCAACUUGGAUUUUAUUCACCUGCAUGUUUUGUUAAAUAUAUGAUUUAUGCUAGAGAUUGGUCUCCGUUUUUAGUACUAACCACAUUCGGUUCAUAUAAAGAGAGAGAGAGAGAUAGAGAGAGCAUUCGUCUCAGAUUGAGAUAAUCAUUUUUUUUGAAAGGAUUGAGAUGAUCAUAUUGACUAGGUCCAUGUUAUAUUUCUUCUCUGUCAAGAUGAUAUGGUCCUGAUUAUUGGACACGUGGUGUCCAUAUUUGGCUAUAGCAGCCUAUGCACCAAAGUAUGUUUUUUGCAUGUAUGAUAUGGCUGGGACAAGUAGAAAGGUUGUUCGAGAAAAUGAUGUUAGAAUGUCAUAUAAGAAACAGAUAAUUUCAAACGCUCUCGGGCUCUCGGGUAACAUGAGAUUGUUCCAUAGUAUUGCACAUGUGUGUUUUAUUGAUAUUUCAAGUGUACAGUUUGCUGAUUUGGAAUGAAUAUAUUGCUCCUUAAGUUGAUUUCUAUUGAAUUACAAUGUUGUAUGUAUUGCCAUUCUUUCGAUUACACACCUAGCAAACAGGAAGAGGCAUGUUUGGGUGGAUCGGCUUGAAUAGGUUGGUUGGUGAUGAUAUGUCUAUUACAUCAGAGAGACAAACCCGGUCGAGGAUCAACAUCAUAGGUAUAAGAAGAGAGCAAUGGCUUCUUCUACAUCCAAUACCCACUAACACUACAUGUUGUAGAUUAUCUAUGUAGGUACCAAAUAGAUGUGCCCUUUCUUGUAUGAACUACUCUGUCACGAAUCGAAUCUUGGAAUGACUUACCAAAUAUUUUAAAAAAACUAAAUUUCUUACCAGUCCACGUGGCGCGGCGUGCCGCCGCGCACUACCUCCUAGUUCACUAUUAGGACAUCAUGCAAAUCUAGGCAUAUGGGGGGUCAAACCACUUCAAACAUGCAUUCAAGUUGUAAAAUCAUAAUCUAUGCGAAAUUCUACAUGAGUUACAUAUAUAAUUCGCCUUGAUUCGAUGCACGGUUUAUUAUCUACGAGCGUUUGAAAAUCUAGCAUUUCCUGGAAAAGAUUAAAUCACAGACUAAUAGUAAAAGAACGCCACGGGUCGAAUCUAGCAUAUGGGCCGAAAUAGAGUUGGCGCUGGAUAGCAACCAAGUGCAUAGGGCGCAGAAUAAUGGGAUCGGGGGAAUCUCACCUCGUGGCCUCUUGGGCCGGCCUGAUGAUGGGCUCGGGGAGGCGUGGAGGCUGGGCCGGGGGCUCUGACGGUCCGCGGGGCGGAGCUGGUCGCUGGACCGAGGGAGGCCUGGCCUGGCAUGGCCCAGCCGACGGAGAGGUAGCACGUGCUGAUCGAGCAACUGGUCCUCUCGAUCUAGAUCGGGAUCGAGGGGGAGCGGCGGCGGCGCAUCUCCGAAAGCGGACAUCUCCGGUGGCGGCUCGCUCUGGCUGCCCAGGGCGGUGGGACGGAGGAGCUACGGCCUUGCGCAUAGGGAGGAGGCCGGCAGCUCGGGGUUGGCUGCUUCCUUCGAGCGAACAUGCGACACCGACCGUCGGUGUUCUAGCGAGGGAGCAGCGAGGUUUGGCCAGGGCGUGGGGCUCGGGGCCAGAGAGGCGGCAGGGCAAGGUGGCUAGCGGCGACGAGGCAUGAGGCGGCGCGGCGGCGACCAGGCGAGGCGCAGGCCGCUGCUAGGCUGCAGCAGGCUCGCGGGAGGCAGUGGCCUCGGGCCCAGAUGGCCUCGGCGGGCCUGACCCAGGCUCGGGCGGGCCCGGUGGCUGGAGGAAGGAGACAGGGAGGUGGAGGUUGGGUGGCGGCUAGUGUUAGGUGGGCGGCGUGGAUUUCGAGGAAGAGAGAGAGAGAGGCAAAAAUGGAAGGUGAGACCCUUCCUUUUGUAGUCGGGGUAGCUAGGGUUUGCCAAAUGGGGUGUUUUCGGACCCUCCGAUGUCGGUCGGACGCUCCGGAAAUGCCCUAAGGUUCGGUUAGGCCGUGUAGAGUGGCUUAGGCGGAGAUGCGAGGGAAAUAGCGCGGCGUGGCAACGCGAUUUAAAACACCAAAACACGUCCGACAAAUAAUCGAAGACGGUGCUGCUACGGUCGACCGUUCGGGUAGGAGACGAACUCCGAUUGCGAUGAAAAUUAGCACGCGGCCUACCUAUAUUAAAAUAAGACCGCACACCAAGUUUCAUCCUAAUCCAAGAAAGUUUUAUACACACUUUUAAAAACAAGAUUUUGACGAUGCCGCGGGCGCGUGCGAGUGUGGUCGGGCUCAACACGGGCAACGACGAGAACGGAGAGAACCGGCCACUAAUAACGGAUGCAAGUUCUGAAAACUCGCAGCAACGAGGUGCCGAUGCAAUGCGGAUGAUGCAAAUGAUGCGAUGAUGAAUGCGGCAAACAAAAAUAAUAACACGAUGACAACGGAAAAGAGGGGAAUCUUUUGGGGCGUCGGUCUCGGGCUGUCACAAGUUGCCCCCGCUUUAUCGUCAAAUCUCGAUCCCUGAUCACGAGCCAAGACCCGACACAACACUCACACCCCCCUUAGUUGUACGACGCUGUAGAGCUACUAUCGGGUAUCGAGGGUGACACCUCGCAAAGUACUCAUGAUGCUAUCUCUGUAAUGCAGCUAGUCGGUCAUGGUUAUCGAGGGUGAUUCCUCCUCCACCACUCCCUGACGAUGACUCUGUCGUGCAACCCCUCAAGGGUGAGACCCUCGAGGGUGAUUCCUCUAAGUCCACCUUGAUGGUUACAUCGUUCGGAAUCCAACGAGGGUGAUACCUCGGAUCCCCCUGAUGUUACAACCACAUAGUUACUUGACCGUGUUACUGGGAACAUUGAUGAAUAAUUGUUAGGCAGGUGGAUUCCCGCGUGGAUGUGUCGAUGAGUUAAUUAAAAUGUUAAUGGAUUUGGGUAUUUGAUCUGGGUUGGCCGGAGACCUUUUCGCACUAACCGGCUACGCAGGAGAAGUUAUGGGUACUCGACGUCGUGGUAUCAGUGAAUCUCUUCAGACAUCAGCAAUGGAGUGGCGCGCGCCCGAGUGGUCCGUAUAGGCAUCGCGCAUGUAAUAAGGGAUGGUAUGACUAACCUCGGCCGCCCAUGCAUCGUGCAAGAGUGAAAAGGGUGAUGGGCCCAUGACAUCUGCGUGCUUAGGAUUUAGACCGGCGGGCUAGCCUCUCUGUUGAGUCUAGGUGGGGCUGCAACGUGUCGAUGUUCCGAGGCCGGGCAUGACCCAGGGAAGUGUGUCCGGUCAGAGUUUAUCGAGUGUGAUGGGAAACUUGGUGCACCCCUGCAAGGAUGAAAAUUAACUAUUCGAAUAGCCGUGUCCACAGUUAUAGGACGACUUGAGUUGUGCCCUGAUCUUAUACAACUAUAACUGUUACUUAACUGGAAUGUUGCUCCGGGAUUGCUUCCUUGGAGGGAGUCAAGGAAGAAUCUCUCGGCGUGACUUUAAUUAAUUUUGUUGCAACAAUAUGACUAUUUAUUGUGUUACCUGUUCUACUCUCGUCUAUUGCUGCAAGACCCCUGAAGAUGCUAGUCUUCGAUAGGACUAGGCCUUCUCUCUCUAUUCUUGCAUUGUUGCAGUCAGUCCACAUAUAACCCCUUCCUUUGAUACUGAUGCAUACUUAGCAUAAUUCUGAUGUCAGGCUUCCGAGUACUUUGGAUGAGUACUCACCGUUGCUUAGCUCCCCACUUCCCCCUUUGACCCGUUGCUCCGACCAGAUGAUGGAACCCAGGAGAUGGUGUAUCCCGCCGACGACGAUUGCUACCCCGACGGUGCCUUCUUCUACGUGGAGGUCGCUGACGACCAGGAGUAGUUAGGACGUUCCCGGGCGGGAGGCCUCGCCUCGUUCGAUCGUUGUAUCUUUGUGCUAGCCAUCUCUAAGGCACCUCAUGUUUCAUGUCUGUACUCAGAUAUUUGUGUUGGGUAACGUAGCAUAAAUUCAAAAAAAUUCCUACGCAUAUUCAGAUCUUCCUAUGGAGAGCCCAGCAACGAGAGAGGGGUGAGUGCAUCUUCAUACCUUUGAAGAUCGCUAAGCGGAAGCGUUGCUAGAACGCGGUUGAUGGAGUCGUACUCGCGGCGAUUCAGAUCGCGGUGUGAUUCCGAUCUAGUGCCGAACCACGACACCUCCGCGUUCAACACACGUGUAGUUCGGUGAUGUCUCCCGCACCUUGAUCCAGCAAGGAGGAGGGAGAGGUUGGGGAAGAUCUCCGGCAGCACGACGGCGUGGUGUCGAUGGAGAGACGAGAUCUCCCGACAGGGCUUCACCAAGCACCGGCAGAGAGGAGAAAGACGAGCAGGGCUCCGCCGAGGGAGAGGGAAAACUAUGUCUCCAAAAGCCCAAAAGUGCCCACUAUAUAUAGGAGGAGGGGAGGAGGGGGGGUGCCACCCCUAGGGUUCCCACCCUAGGUGGUGCGGCAACCCCCCCAUAUGGGAGGUGCGGCGGCCAGGGCAGGGGGGAGGGGUGGCGCACCCCUAGGUGGGCCUUAGGCCCACCAACGCCUAGGGUUUCCCCCCUCUCCACCUCCUGCGCCUUGGGCUGAGUGUGGGGGGCGCACCAGCCCACCUAGGGGCUGGUUCCCUCCUGCACUUAGCCCAUCUAGCCUCCCGGGGUCGUUGUCCCCUUCCGGUGGACCCCCGGGGCCACCUCCGGUGGUCCCGAUACGUUACCGGUGACGCCCGAAACACUUCCGGUGUCCGAAACCAUUCGUCCUAUAUAUCAGUCUUUACCUCCGGACCAUUCCGGAGCUCCUCGUGACGUCCGGGAUCUCAUCCGGGACUCCGAACAACUUUCUAUAACAUCGUAUAACAAUUCCCUAUGACCCUAGCGUCAUCGAACCUUAAGUGUGUAGACCCUACGGGUUCGGGAGAAAGGUAGACAUGACCGAGACACCUCUCCGGCCAAUAACCAUCAACGGGGUCUGGAUACCCAUGGUGGCUCCCACUUGCUCCAUGGUGAUCUCAUCGGAUGAACCACGAUGUCAAGGAUUCAAUCAAUCCCGUAUACAAUUCCCUUUGUCUGUCGGUAUAGAACUUGCCCGAGAUUCGAUCGUCGGUAUACCUAUACUUUGUUCAAUCUCGUUACCGGUAAGUCUCUUUACUCGUUUCGUAGUACGUCAUCGUGUGACUAACUCCUUAGUCACAUUGAGCUCAUGAUGAUGUUCUACCGAGUGGGCCCAGAGAUACCUCUCCCUCACACGGAGUGACAAAUCCCGAUCUCGAUUCGUACCAACCCAACAGACACUUUCAGAGGUACCCGUAGUGCACCUUUAUAGUCACCCAGUUACGUUGUGACGUUUGAUACACCUAAAGCACUCCUACGGUAUCCGGGAGUUGCACAAUCUCACGGUCGAAGGAAAAGACACUUGACAUUAGAGAAGCUUUAGCAUACGAACAAUACGAUCUAGUGCUACGCUUAGGAUUGGGUCUUGUCCAUCACAUCAUUGUCCCAAUGAUGUGAUCCCGUUAUUAAUGACAUCUAAUGCCCAUGACCAGGAAACCAUGAUCAUCUAUUGACUAACGAGCUAGCCAACUAGAGGCUAUCUAGGGACACAUUGUGAUCUAUUUAUUCACACAUGUAUUACUGUUUCCUGUUAAUACAAUUAUAGCAUGAACAAUAGACGAUUAUCAUGAACAAGGAAAUAUGAUAAUAACCAUUUUAUUAUUGCCUCUAGGGCAUAUUUCCAACAGUCUCCCACUUGCACUAGAGUCAAUAAUCUAGUUACAUUGUGAUGUAUCGAACACCCAUAGCAUUAUGGUGUUGAUCAUGUUUUGCUCGUGGAAGAGGUUUAGUCAAUGGGUCUGCAACAUUAAGAUCCGUGUGUACUUUACAAAUCUGUAUUACUCCACUCUGGACAUGGUCCUGGAUGGAGUUGUAGCGGCGUUUGAUGUGCUUCGUCUUCCGGUGGAACCUGGGCUCCUUGGCUAUGGCAAUGGCCCCAGUGUUAUCACAGAAGAGUGUCAUUGGACCCGACGCGCUUGGAACCACUCCAAGGUCGGUGAUGAGCUCUUUCAUCCAAAUUCCUUCAUGAGCCGCUUCUGAAGCAGCUAUGUACUCCGCUUCACAUGUAGAUGCUGCCACGACUUCUUGCUUGCUGCUGCACCAGCUCACUGCCCCACCAUUCAAAACAUAUACGUAUCCGGUCUGUGACUUAGAGUCAUCCGGAUCUGUGUCGAAGCUAGCGUCGACAUAACCCUUUACGACGAGCUCUUCGUCACCUCCAUAAACGAGAAACAUUUCCUUAGUCGUCUUCAGGUACUUAAGGAUAUUCUUGACCGCUGUCCAGUGUUCCAUACCGGGAUCACUUUGGUACCUCCCUACCAAACUUAUGUCAAGGUUUAUAUCAGGUCUGGUACAAAUCAUGGCAUACAUAAGAGAGCCUACGGCUGAAGCGUAGGGGACAAUACUCAUCUUCUCUCUAUCUGCUGCCGUGGUCGGCGACUGAGUCUUACUCAAUCUCAUACCUUGCAAAACUGGUAAGAACCCUUUCUUUGAGUUUUCCAUAUUGAACUUCUUCAAUAUCUUGUCAAGGUAUAUACUUUGUGAAAGACCUAUGAGGCGUCUCGAUCUAUCUCUAUAGAUCUUGAUGCCUAAUAUGUAUGCAGCUUCUCCAAGGUCCUUCAUUGAAAAACUCUUGUUCAAAUAGGCCUUUAUGCUCUCCAACAUCUCUAUAUCAUUCCCCAUCAGUAAUAUGUCAUCCACGUACAGUAUGAGGAAAGCUACAGAGCUCCCACUCACUUUCUUGUACAGACAGGCUUCUCCAUAAACCUGUAUGAACCCAAACGCUUUAAUUACCUCAUUAAAGCGAAUGUUCCAACUCCGAGAUGCUUGCACCAGCCCAUAGAUGGAGCGCUGGAGCUUGCACACUUUGUUAGCACCCUUAGGGUCGACAAAACCUUCUGGUUGCAUCAUAUACAACUCUUCCUUAAGAUUCCCGUUAAGGAAAGUUAUUUUGACGUCCAUUUGCCAAAUUUCAUAAUCAUAAAAGGCGACAAUUGCUAACAUGAUUCGGACUGAUUUCAGCUUCGCUACGGGAGAGAAAGUCUCCUCGUAGUCAAUUCCUUGAAUUUUUCAAAAACCUUUUGCGACAAGUCGAGCUUUAUAAACGGUUACAUUACCAUUUGCAUCAGUCUUCUUCUUGAAGAUCCAUUUAUUUUCUAUGGCUCGCCGGUCAUCGGGCAAGUCCACCAAAGUCCAUACUUUGUUCUCAUACAUGGAUCCUAUCUCGGAUUUCAUAGCUUCAAGCCAUUUGUUGGAAUCCGGGCCCGCCAUCGCUUCUUUAUAGUUCGAAGGUUCACCGUUGUCUAAGAACAAGAUUUCCAUUAUAGGGUUGCCGUACCACUCUGGUGCGGAGCGUACCCUUGUGGACCUUCGCGGCUCAGCAGUAACUUGAUCUGAAGCUUCAUGAUCAUUAUCAUUAACUUCCUCUUCAGUUGGUGUAGGCGCAACAGGAACAACUUCCCGCGCUGUGCUACUAUCCUAUUUGAGAGGGGGUGUAAUUACCUCAUCAAGUUCUACCUUCCUCCCACUUACUUCUUUCGAGAGAAACUCUUUCUCUAGAAAGGAUCCGUUCUUGGCAACAAAGGUUUUACCUUAGGAUCUAAGAUAGAAGGUAUACCCAAUAGUUUCCUUAGGGUAUCCUAUGAAUACGCAUUUCUCCGCUUUGGGUUCGAGCUUUUCUGGUUGAAGUUUCUUCACAUAAGCAUCGCAGCCCCAAACUUUAAGAAACAACAACUUAGGUUUCUUCACAAACCAUAGUUCAUACGGUGUUGUCUCAACGGAUUUAGACGGUGCCCUAUUUAAAGUGAAUGCUGCAGUUUCUAAUGCGUAUCCCCAAAAUGAUAGCGGUAAGUUGGUAAGAGACAUCAUAUAUCGUACCAUAUCUAAUAAAGUGCGAUUACGACGUUCAGACACUUCGUUGCGUUGCGGUGUGCCAGGCGGUGUCAGUUGUGAAACGAUUCCACACUUCCUUAGGUGUGUGCCAAACUCGUGACUCAAAUAUUCUCCUCCACGAUCAGAUCGUAGACACUUAAUUUUUCUGUCACGUUGAUUCUCGACCUCACUCUGAAAUUCCUUGAACUUUUCAAACGUCUCAGAUUUGUGCUUCAUCAAGUAGAUAUACCCAUACCUACUCAAAUCAUCGGUGAGAGUGAGAACAUAACGAUAGCCACCGCGAGCUUCAACGUUCAUUGGACCACACACAUCAGUAUGUAUUAUUUCCAAUAAGUUGGUUUCUCUCUCCAUUAUUCCUGAGAAUGGAGUCUUAGUCAUCUUGCCCAUGAGGCACGGUUCGCAUGUGUCAAAUGAUUCGAAGUCAAGAGACUCUAAUAGUCCAUCAGUAUGGAGCUUAUUCAUGCGCUUAACACCGAUAUGACCAAGGCGGCAGUGCCACAAGUAUGUGGGACUAUCAUUAUCAACUUCACAUCUUUUGGUACUCACACUAUGAAUAUGCGUAACAUCACGAUCGAGAUUCAUCAAGAAUAAACCAUUCACCAGCGGAGCAUGACCAUAAAACAUACCACUCAUAUAAAUAGAACAACCAUUAUUCUCUUACUUAAAUGAGUAGUCGUCUCGCAUUAAGCAAGACCCUGAUACAAUAUUCAUGCUCAAAGCUAGUACUAAAUAACAAUUAUUAAGGUUUAAAACUAAUCUCGACGGUAGAUGUAGAGGUAGCGUGCCUACGGCGAUCACAUCAACCUUGGAGCCAUUCCCGACGCGCAUCGUCACCUCGUCCUUGGCCAGUCUCCGCUUAUUCCGCAGUUCCUGCUUUGAGUUGCAAAUGUGAGCAACAACACCGGUAUCAAAUACUGAGGAGCUACUACGAGCGCUGGUAAGGUACACAUCAAUAACAUGUAUAUCACAUAUACCUUUUACGUUGCCGUCCUUCUUGUCCGCUAAGUAUUUGGGGCACUUCCGCUUCCAGUGACCCUUUCCCUUGCAAUUGAAGCACUCAGUCUCAGGCUUGGGUCCAUUCUUUUUCUUCUUCCCGGUAUCUGGCUUACCGGAUGCGGCAACGGCUUUGCUGUCUUUCUUGAAGUUCUUCUUACCCUUGCCCUUCUUGAAACUAGUGGUCUUGUUGACCAUCAACACUUGAUGCUCUUUCUUGAUUUCUACUUCUGCAGACUUGAGCAUCGAGUACAACUCGGGAAUGGUCUUCUCCAUCCCUUGCAUGUUGUAGUUCAGCACAAAACCUUUGUAGCUUGGUGGGAGAGACUGGAGGAUUCUGUCAAUUAUAGCAUCAUCCGGAAGUUCGACUCCAAGUGAAGUCAGACGACCGUGAACCCAGACAUUUUGAGUAUGUGCUCACUGACAGAACUAUUCUCCUCCAUCUUACAGCUAAAGAACUUGUCGGAGACUUCAUAUCUCUCAACACGGGCAUGAGCUUGAAAAACUAGUUUCAGCGCUUGGAACAUAUCAUAUGCACCGUGUUGCUCAAAACGCCUUUGGAGCCCCGUUUCUAAACUGUAUAACAUGCCACACCUAACCAGAGAGUAGUCAUCACUCCGCGUUUGCCAGACGUUCAGAAUGUCCUGGGCUGCUGCGGGAGCGGGAGGGUCACCUAGCGGCACAUCAAGGACAUAAGCCUUUUUAGCUGCUUCAAGGAUGAGCUUCAAGUUGCGAACCCAGUCCGCAUAGUUGCUACCAUCAUCUUUCAGCUUGUUUUUCUCUAGGAUUGCGUUGAAAUUGAGGUUGACGUUGGCCAUCUACAAUAUUUAUAAAGACAACUUUUAGACUAAGUUCAUGACAAUUAAGUUCAUUUAAUCAAAUUAAGUAUGAACUCCCACUUAAAUUGACAUCCCUCUAGUCAUCUAAGUGAUACAUGAUCCAUGUUGACCAACCCAUGUCCGAUCAUCACGUGAGACGGACUAGUCACCAUGGUGAGCAACUUCAUGUUGAUCGUAUUCAACCAUACGACUCAUGUUCGACCUUUCGGUCUCUUGUAUUCGAGGUCAUGUCUGUACAUGCUAAACUCGUCGAGUCAACCUAGGUGUUUCGCGUGUGUAAAUCUGGCUUACACCCGUUGUAUGCGAACGUUAGAAUCUAUCACACCCGAUCAUCACGUGGUGCUUCGAGACAACGAUACUUCGCAACGAUGCACACUUAGGGGAAUACGUUCUCGAAAUUUUAAGAGGGAUCAUCUUAUUAUGCUACCGUCGUUCUAAGCAAUAAGAUGAAAAACAUGAUAAACAUCACAAUGCAAUCAUAUAGUGACAUGAUAUGGCCAUUAUCAUCUUUGCUCUUUCGAUCUCCAUCUUCAGACAUCGCAUGAUCAUCAUUGUCACCGGCGUGACAUCAUGAUCUCCAUCAUCAUGAUCUCCAUCGUCGUGUCUCCGUGAAGUCGUCGCGCCAACUACUACUAUCACUACUACUAUAGCUAACCGUUAGCAAUGAAGUAAAAGUAGUAAGCACAUGGCGUUGCAUCUCAUACAAUAAAUUAAGACAACUCCUAUGGCUCCUGCCGGUUGUCAUACUCAUCGACAUGCAAGUCGUGAAACCUAUUACAAUAGCAUGAUCAUCUCAUACAUCAUACAUGCAACAUCACAACUUUGGCCAUAUCACAUCACAUGUCAAACCCUGCAAAAACAAGUUAGACGUCCUCUAAUUGUUUUUGCAAGUUUUACGUGGCUAAUUUGGGUUUCUAGCAAAAACGCCUUCUUACCUACGUGACAGCCACAACGAUGAUAUGCCAAAGCUAUUUGCCCUUCGUAAGGACCCUUUUCAUCAAAUCCAAUCCGACUAGAGUGGGAGAGACAGACACCCGCUAGCCACCUUUAUGCACGUUGUGCAUGUGGUGGAACCAGUCUCACGUAAGCGUACGUGUAAGGUCGGUCCGGGCCGCUUCAUCCCACAAUACCGCCGGAAAAGAAUAAGACUAGUAGCGGCAAGAAAUUUACAAAUCAUCGCCCACAACCUUUUGUGUUCUACUCGUGCAUAGAAUCUACGCAUAGAAAACCUGGCUCGGAUGCCACUGUUGGGUACGUAGCAUAAAUUCAAAACAUUUCCUACGCACAUUCAGAUCUUCCUAUGGAGAGCCCAGCAACGAGAGAGGGGUGAGUGCAUCUUCAUACCUUUUAAGAUUGCUAAGCGGAAGCGUUGCUAGAACACGGUUGAUGGAGUCGUACUCACGGCGAUUCAGAUCACGGUGUGAUUCCGAUCUAGUGCCGAACCACGGCACCUCCGCAUUCAACACACGUGCAGUUCGGUGACGUCUCCCGCACCUUGAUCCAGCAAGAAGGAGGGAGAGGUUGGGGAAGAUCUCCGGCAGCACGACGGCGUGGUGUCGAUGGAGGGACGACAUCUCCCGGCAGGGCUUCGCCAAGCACCGGCAGAGAGGAGGAGAAAGAAGAGCAGGGCUGCGCCGAGGGAGAGGGAAAACUAUGUCUCCAAAAGCCUGAAAGUUCCCACUAUAUAUAGGAGGAGGAGGGGGGUGCCACCCCUAGGGUUCCCACCCUAGGUGGUGCGGCAGCCCCCCCAGAUGGGUGGUGUGGCGGCAAGGGCAGGGGGGAGGGGUGGCGCACCCCUAGGUGGGCCUUAGGCCCACCAGCGCCUAGGGUUUCCCUCCCCCUCUCCACCUCCUGUGCCUUGGGCUGAGUGUGGGGGGCGCACCAGCCCACCUAGGGGCUGGUUUCCUCCCGCACUUAGCCCAUCUAGCCUCCCGGGGUCGUUGCACCCUUCCGGUGGUCCCGGUGGUCCCGGUACGUUACUGGUGACGCCCGAAACACUUUCGGUGUACGAAACCAUUCGUCCUAUAUAUCAAUCUUUACCUUCGGACCAUUCUGGAGCUCCUCGUGACGUCCGGGAUCUCAUCCGGGACUCCGAACAACUUUCGAUAACCUCGUAUAACAAUUCCCUAUGACCCUAGCGUCAUCGAACCUUAAGUGUGUAGACCCUACGGGUUCGGGAGACAGGUAGACAUGACCGAGACACCUCUCCGGCCAAUAACCAUCAGCGGGGUCUGGAUACCCAUGGUGGCUCCCACUUUCUCCAUGAUGAUCUCAUCGGAUGAACCACGAUGUCAAGGAUUCAAUCAAUCCUGUAUACAAUUCCCUUUGUCUGUCGGUAUAGAACUUGCCCGAGAUUCGAUCGUCGGUAUACCUAUACCUUGUUCAAUCUCGUUACCUGUAAGUCUCUUUACUCGUUCCGUAGUAGGUCAUCGUGUGACUAACUCCUUAGUCACAUUGAGCUCAUGAUGAUGUUCUACCGAGUGGGCCCAGAGAUACCUCUCCGUCACACGGAGUGACAAAUCCCGAUCUCGAUUCGUACCAACCCAACAGACACUUUCAGAGGUACCCAUAGUGCACCUUUAUAGUCACCCAGUUACAUUGUGACAUUUGAUACACCCAGAGAACUCCUACGGUAUCCGGGAGUUGCACAAUCUCACGGUCGAAGGAAAGACACUUGACAUUAGAAAAUCUUUAGCAUACGAACAAUGCGAUCUAGUGCUACGCUUAGGAUUGGGUCUUGUCCAUCACAUCAUUCUCCCAAUGAUGUGAUCCCAUUAUCAAUGACAUGUAAUGCCCAUGACCAGGAAACCAUGAUCAUCUAUUAACUAACGAGCUAGCCAACUAGAGGCUUGCUAGGGACACAUUGUGAUCUAUUUAUUCACACAUGUAUUACUGUUUCCUGUUAAUACAAUUAUAGCAUGAACAAUAGACGAUUAUCAUGAACAAGGAAAUAUGAUAAUAACCAUUUUAUUAUUGCCUCUAGGGCAUAUUUCCAACAAUUUGUUGCUUCCGCUGACUCGUGUGUUUAGCGAGCUUAUGUAUUCUAGUCCUCCAGGCCCCUCGCUUGUAAAAUCUUGUAUGGUUUAUUUGUGUCUAGAGUUGUGUUGUGCUAUUUGUUGGAAAACGUAGUAAAUUCAAAAAUUUCCUAUGCCAUACAAGGACCUAUCUAUGGAGAAACCAGCAACGAGAGAGGUUGUAGAGCAUCUUCAUAUAUUUGAAGAUCGCUAAGAGGAAGCGUUACUAGAACGCGGUCGAUGGAGUCGUACUAGCACCGAUUCAGAUCGCGGUCGGUUCCGAUCUAUGUGCCGGAACACGGCACAUCCGCGUUCAACACACGUGCAGCCCGGUGACGUCUCCCACGCCUUGAUCCAGCAAGGAGGAGGGAUAGGUUGAGGGAGAGCUCCGGCAGCGCGACGGUGCGGUGGCGGUGGAGCUACGAGAUAUUCCGGCAGGGCUUCGCCAAGCACCACGGAAGAGGAGGAAGAGGAGGAGCAGGGCUACGCCGAGAGAACACUGGUGCCAUUGCCUUAGCAAAAGAACCAAGGUUUCACAAGAAGACUAGACACAUCAAACCACGCUUUAACCUCAUCCACGACUAUGUCGAAGGAGAGGACGUGAAUAUUUGCAAAGUGCACACGGAUCUGAAUGUAGCAGACCCGCUGACUAAACUUCUUCCACGGGCAAAACAUGAUCAACACCAGAACUGUAUGGGUGUUUGAUUUAUUACAAUGUAAAUCGCAUGGCGAUGUGAGGACUAGAUUAUUGACUCUUGUGCUAGUGGGAGACUGUUGGAAAUAUGCCCUAGAGGCAAUGAUAAAUAGUUAUUAUUAUAUUUCCUCUUUAAUGGUAAUCGUUUAUUAUCCAUGCUAUAAUUGUAUUGAAUGAAAACAUAGAUACAUGUGUGGAUACAUAGACAAAACAAUGUCCCUAGCAAGCCUCUAGUUGGCUAGCCACUUGAUCAAUGAUAGUCAAGGUUUUCUCACUAUGUGCAAGUGUUGUCACUUGAUAACUGGAUCACAUCAUUAGGGGAAUCAUGUGAUGGACUAGACCCAAACUAUGAACGUAGCAUAUUGAUCGUGUCGUUUUAUUGCUAUUGUUUUUUGCGUGUCAAGUAUUUGUUCCUAUGACCAUGAGAUCAUCUAACUCACUGGCACCGGAGGAAUAGCUUGUGUGCAUCAAACAUCACAACGUAACUGGGUGACUAUAAAGGUGCUCUAGACGUAUCUCCGAAGGUGUCCGUUGAGUUAGUAUGGAUCAAGACUGGGAUUUGUCACUCCUUGUGACGGAGAGGUAUCUCGGGGCCCACUCGGUAAUACAACAUCACACGUGUAUUACGGAACGAGUAAAGAGACUUGCUGGUAAUGAGAUUGAAAUAGGUAUGCGGAUACCGACGAUCAAAUAUCACGCAAGUAACAUACCAAAGGACAAAGGGAAUGACAUACAGGAUUAUAUGAAUCCUUGACACUGAGGUUCAACCGAUAAGAUACUCGGAUAAUAUGUAGGAUCCAAUAUGUGCAUCUAGGUCCCGCUAUUGGAUAUUGACCAAGGAGUACCUCGGGGCAUGUCUACAUAGUUCUCGAACCCGCAGGGUCUGCACACUUAAGGUUCGAUGAUGUUUUAGUAUAGUUGAGUUAUAUGUGUGGUUACCGAAUGUUGUUCGGAGUCCCGGAUGAGAUCACGGACGUCAUGAGGGUUUCCGGAAUGGUCCGGAAACGAAGAUUGAUAUAUAGGAUCACUUCAUUUGGUUACCGGAAGGUUUUCGGGCAUUACCGGGAUUGUACCGGGAGUGACAAAUGGGUUCCGGAAGUUCACCAGGAGGGGCCCAACCCACCCGGGGGAAGCCCAAUGACCUUAGGUGUGGCACACCAUCCCUUAGUGGGCUGGUGGGACAGCCCAAGAGGGCCUUGGCGCCAUAAGAAGAAAACCAAAGUAAAAAAGGGGGAGGUGGGAAGGAAGGAAGGACUCCACUUUCCAAUCCUAAUUGAGUAGGAUUCCUCCUCCUCCUCCUAGCCGGUGCACCCUUGAGGGCUUGGCCCUCAAGGCAAGCCUCCUUCCCCUCCCUCCUAUAUAUAGUGGUGAUUUAGAGCUGAUUUGAGACAACUUUUACCACGUGCAACUCAGAUCUAGACAACAUAGUUUUACCUCUAGAUCGUAUUACCGCGGAGCUCGGGCGAAGCCGUGCGGGAGUAGAUCCUCACCACCACCGGAGCGCCAUCAUGCUGCUGUAUAACUCAUCUACUUAUCCGUCUUGAUUGCUGGAUCAAGAAGGCCGAGAUCAUCGUCGAGCUGUACGUGUGCUGAACGUGGAGGUGCCGUCCGUUCGGCACUAGAUCGAAACAGAUCGCAGGACGGAUCGCAGGACGGUUCGUGGGGCUGAUCGAGGGACGUGAAGACGUUCCACUACAUCAACCGCGUUUCUUAACGCUUCCUGCUGUGCGAUCUACAAGGGUGCGUAGAUCUAAAUCUCCUCUCGUAGAUGGACAUCACCAUGAUAGGUCUUCGUGUGCGUAGGAUUUUUUUUGUUUCCCAUGCAACGUUCCCCAACAGUGGCAUCAUGAGCUAGGUUCAUGCGUAGAUGUUAUCUCGAGUAGAACACAAAGGGUUUUGUGGACGGUGAUGUUCGAUCUGCUGCCUUCCUUAGUCUUUUCUUUAUUUGACGGUAUUGUUGGAUUGAAGCGGCCCGGACCGACAUUAUUCGUACGCUUACGAAAGACUGGUUUCAUCGAUUGACAUGCAACGUCGUUGCAUAAAGAUGACUCGCGGAUGUCGGUUUCUUCAACUUUAGUUGAAUUUGUUUUGACCAAGGCGGUCCUUGGAGAGGUUAAAUAGCAAUUUGCACAUCUCCCUGUGGUUUUUGCGUAAGUAAGAUGCGAUCAUACUAGAUACCCAUAGCAGCCACGUAAAACACACAACAACAAAUUAGAGGACGUCUAACUUGUUUUUGCAGGGUAUGCUUGUGAUAUGAUAUGGCCAAUGACGUGAUGUGAUAUAUUGUAUGUAUGAUAUGAUCAUGUUGUAAUAGUUAAUAUCGACUUGCACGUCGAUGGUACGGCAACCGACAGGAGCUAUAGGGUUGUCUUUAAACUAACGUUUGUGUUUGCAGAUGUGUUACUAUAUUGCUAGGACGUAGCUUUAGUAGUAAUAGCAUAAGUAGCACGACAGCCCCGAUGGCAACACGUUGAUGGAGAUCAUGAUGAUGGAGAUCAUGGUGUGGCGCCGGUGACAACAAGAUCGUGUCGGUGCUUUGGUGAUGGAGAUCAAGAAGCACACGACAAUGGCCAUAUCAUGUUACUUAUGAAUUGCAUGUGAUGUUAAUCCUUUUAUGCACCUUAUUUUGUUUAGAACGACGGUAGCAUUAUGAGCUGAUCUCUCACUAAAAUUUCAAGACGAAAUUGUGUUCUCCUCGACUGUGCAAUGUUGCUACAGUUCGUCGUUUCGAGACACCACGUGAUGAUUGGGUGUGAUAGACUCAAUGUUCACAUACAACGGGUGCAAAACAGUUGCACACGCGGAACACUCGGGUUAAGCUUGACGAGCCUAGCAUGUGCAGACAUGGCCUUGGAACACAUGAGACCGAAAGGUCGAGCAUGAAUCGUGUAGUUGAUAUGAUUAGCAUAGAGAUGCUUACCACUGAAACUAUUCUCAACUCACGUGAUGAUCCGACUUGAGUUAGUGAAUUUGGAUCAUGUACCACUCAAAUGACUAGAGAGAUGUACUUUUUGAGUGGGAGUUUAGCAAGUAAUUUGAUUAGCUGAACUUUAAUUAUCUUGAACAUAGUCUAAGUCCACUUUGAAAAUAUUUGUGUUGUAGAUCAAUGGCUCACGCGAGAGUCACCCUGAAUUUUAAUAUGUUCCUAGAGAAAGCUAAGUUGAAAGAUGAUGGAAGCAACUUUGUAGACUGGCCUCGUAAUCUUAAGUUGCUCUUGCAAGCUCGGAAGAAGGAUUAUGUCCUUAAUGCUACGCUAGGAGAUGAACCACCCGCCAUGGCUGACCAAGAUGUUAAGAACGCUUGGUUAGCACGCAAGGAGGACUACUUAGUAGUUCAGUGUGCAGUCUUGUAUGGCUUAGAGCCAGGACUUCAACGUCGCUUUGAGCAUCAUGGAACAUUUGAGAUGUUCCAGGAGUUGAAGUUUAUCUUUUAGAAGAACGCCCAGAUCGAGAGAUAUGAGACCUCCGAUAAAUUCUAUGCUUGCAAGAUGAAGGAGAAUUCGUCUGUCAGUUAACAUGUUCUCAAAAUGUGUGGGUACUCAAACCGUCUAGCUGAGCUGGGGAUUGAACUCCCGCAAGAGGCUAUCACUGACAGAAUUCUUCAAUCACUGCCACCAAGCUACAAGAGCUUUGUGUUGAACUAUAACAUGCAAGGGAUGAACAAGUCACCCGACGAGUUAUUCGCGAUGCUGAAAGUCGCAGAGUCAGAACUCCGUAAAGAGCAUCAAGUGAUGAUGGUGAAUAAGACCACUAGUUUCAAGAGAAACGACAAAGGAAAGAAGGGUAAUUCCAAGAAGAGCGGCAAGCCUGUUGCCAAUCCGACGAAGAAACCCAAGGCUGGACCUAAGCCUAAAACAGAGUGUUAUUAUUGCAAGGGUAUGGGUCACUAGAAGCGCAACUGCCCCAAGUAUUUGGCUGGUAAGAAGGCGACCAAGGAAAAAUCAGGUAUAUUCGAUAUACAUGUUAUUGAUGUGUACUUAACCAGCUCUCGUAGUAGUGCCUGGGUAUUCGAUACCGGUUCUGUUGCUCAUAUUUGCAACUCAAAACAAGAACUACAGAAUAAGUGAAGGCUGGCGAAGGAUGAAGUGACGAUGCGCAUGGGAAAUGGUUCCAAGGUUGAUGCAAUCACCGUCGGCACAGUUUCACUUCAGUUACCAUCAAGAUUACUUCUGAACUUAAAUAAUUGUUAUUUAGUGCCUGCGUUAAGCAUGAACAUUAUAUAUGGAUCUUGUUUAUUGCGAGAUGGUUACUCGUUUAAGUCAGAGAAUAAUGGUUGUUCUAUUUCUAUGAGUAAUAUCUUUUAUGGUCUUGCACCCAAUGUGAGAGGAUUGUUCAUAUUGAAUCUUGAUAACGAUAAUACACAUAUACAUAACAUUGAGACCAAAAGAGUUAGAGUUAACAAUGAUAGCGCCAUGUUUUUAUGGCACUGCCGCUUAGGUCAUAUUUGUGUAAAGCGCAUGAAGAAACUCCAUACCGAUGGACUUUUCGAGUCACUUGACUUUGAUUCACUUGACACGUGCGAACCAUGCCUCAUGGGCAAGAUGACUAAGACUCCGUUCUCCGGAACAAUGGAGCGUGCAAGUGACUUGUUGGAAAUCAUACAUACCGAUGUAUGCGGUCCGAUGAGUGUGGAUGCGCGCGGCGGAUAUCGUUAUUUUCUCACCUUCACUGACGAUUUGAGUAGAUAUGGUUAUGUCUACUUGAUGAAGCACAAGUCUGAAACGUUUGAGAAGUUCAAGCAAUUUCAGAGUGAAGUUGAAAAUCAUCAUAACAAGAAGAUCAAGUUCCUACGGUCUGAUCGUGGGGGUGAAUAUCUGAGUUUCGAGUUUUGUUCUCACUUAAUACAAUGUGGAAUUGUUUCACAGUUGACACCGCCUGGAACACCACAGCAUAAUGGUGUGUCUGAACGUCGUAAUCGUACUUUAUUAGAGAUGGUGCGAUCUAUGAUGGAUCUUACCGAUUUGCCGUUAUCGUUUUGGGGUUAUGCAUUAGAGACAGCUGCAUUCACUUUAAAUAGGGCACCAUCAAAAUCCGUUGAGACGACACCAUACGAAUUGUGGUAUGGCAAAAGACCAAAGUUGUUGUUUCUUAAAGUUUGGGGAUGUGAUGCUUAUGUCAAGAAGCUUCAACCUGAAAAGCUGGAACCCAAAGCGGAAAAGUGCGUCUUCAUAGGUUACCCAAAAGAGACAGUUGGGUAUACCUUCUAUCUCAAAUCCGAGGGCAAAGUGUUUGUUGCUAAAAACAGAGCUUUUCUUGAGAAGGAGUUUCUCUCGAAAGAAUUGAGUGGGAGGAAGAUAGAACUUGAUGAGGUUGUCGAACCUCUAAUCCCUCUAGAUGGUGGCGCAGGGCAAGGGGAAACCCCUGUUGCUGCGGCGCCGGUUGAGGAGCAAGUUGAUGAUGAUCAUCAUGAAACUUCGGAUCAAGUUCCUAUCGGACCUCACAGGUCGACAAGAUCACGUAUUACUCCUGAGUGGUACGGUAAUCCUGUCUUAUCAAUUAUGUUGUUGGACAACAAUGAACCUGCGAAUUACGAAGAAGCAAUAGUGGGCCCGGAUUCCAACAAAUGGUUGGAGGCCAUGAAGUCUGAGAUAUGAUCCAUGUACGAAAUCAAAGUGUGGACUUUGGAAGUACUACCUGAAGGCCGCAAGGCUAUUCAGAACAAAUGGAUCUAUAAGAAGAAGACGGACGCAGACGGUAAUGUGACCGUUUAUGAAGCUCGACUUGUGGCAAAGGGUUUUUCACAAGUUCAAGGAUUGGACUACGAUGAUACUUUCUCACCGGUAUCAAUGCUUAAGUCCGUCCGAAUCAUGUUAGCAAUAGCUUCCUUUUACAAUUAUGAAAUCUGGCAGAUGGAUGUCAAAACGGUGUUCCUUAACGGUUUUCUUAAGGAAGAGUUGUAUAUGAUGCAACCCGAAGGUUUUGUCGAUCCAAAGAAUGCUAACAAAGUAUUCAAGCUCCAGCGAUCCAUUUAUGGACUGGUGCAAGCAUCUUGGAGUUGGAAUAAGCGCUUUGAUGAGGUGAUCAAAGCAUUUGGGUUUAUACAAGUGGUUGGAGAAUCUUGUAUUUACAAGAAAGUGAGUGGGAGCUCUGUGGUGUUUCUAAUAUUAUAUGUGGAUGACAUAUUGCUGAUUGGAAACAACGUGGAGCUUUUGGAGAGCAUAAAGGAUUACUUGAAUAAAAGUUUCUCUAUGAAGGAUCUAGGAGAAGCUGCUUACAUUCUAGGCAUUAAGAUCUAUAGGGAUAGAUCGAAACGCCUGAUAGGACUUUCACAAAGUACAUACCUUGAUAAAUUUUGAAGAAGUUCAACAUGGAUCAGUCCAAGAAAGGGUUCUUGCCAGUAUUACAAGGUAUAAAAUUGAGUAAGACUCGGUGCCCAACAACUGCGGAAGAUAGAGAACAAAUGAGUUCCGUCCCCUACGCUUCGGCCGUAGGUUCUAUCAUGUAUGCAAUGUUCUGCACUAGACCAGACGUCAGCUUGGCCAUAAGUAUGGCAGGCAGGUUUCAGAGUAAUCCAGGAGUGGAUCACUGGACGACGGUUAAGAAUAUUCUGAAGUACCUGAAAAGGACUAAGGAAAUGUUUCUCGUUUAUGGAGGUGACAAAGAGCUCGUCGUAAAAGGUUACGUCGACGCAAGUUUUGACACCGAUCCGGAUGACUCUAAUUGGCAAGCCGGGUACGUAUUUAUUCUUAAUGGCGGUGCGGUAAGCUGGUGGAGUUCCAAGCAGAGCGUCGUAGCAGAUUCUACUUGUGAAGCGGAGUACAUAGCUGCCUCGGAGGCAGCAAAGGAGGGUGUGUGGAUGAAGUAGUUCAUGACAGAUCUUGGAGUUGUGCCGAGCGCACUAGAUCCAUUAACUCUGUUAUGUGACAACACUCGUGCCAUUGCCUUAGCAAAGGAACCAAGGUUUCACAAGAAGACCAACCACGUCAAACGGCGCUUCAACCUCAUCCGCGACUAUGUCGAAGGAGAGGACGUGAAUAUUUACAAAGUGCACACAUAUCUGAAUGUAGAAGACCUGCUGACUAAACCUCUUCCACAGGCAAAACAUGAUCAACACCAGAACUGUAUGGGUGUUCGAUUUAUUACAAUGUAAAUUGCAUGGCGAUGUGAGGACUAGAUUAUUGACUCUAGUGCAAGUGGGAGACUGUUGGAAAUAUGCCGUAGAGGCAAUGAUAAAUAGUUAUUAUUAUAUUUCCUGUUUAAAGAUAAUCGUUUAUUAUCCAUGCUAUAUUUGUAUUGAAUGAAAACAUAGAUACAUGUGUGGAUACAUAGACAAAACAAUGUCCCUAGCAAGCCUCUAGUUGGCUAGGCACUUGAUCAAUGAUAAUCAAGGUUUUCUGACUAUGUGCAAGUGUUGUCACUUGAUAACUAGAUCACAUCAUUAGGAGAAUCAUGUGAUGGACUAGACCCAAACUAUGAACGCAGCAUAUUGAUCGUGUCGUUUUAUUGCUAUUGUUUUCUCCGUGUCAAGUAUUUGUUCCUAUGACCAUGAUAUCAUAUAACUCACUGGCACCGGAGGAAUACCUUGUGUGCAUCAAACGUCACAACGUAACUGGGUGACUAUAAAGGUGCUCUACAGGUAUCUCUGAAGGUGUCCAUUGAGUUAGUAUGGAUCAAGACUGGGAUUUGUCACUCUGUGUGACGGAGAGGUAUCUCGGGGCCCACUCGGUAAUACAACAUCACACACAAGCCUUGCAAGCAAUGUGACUAAGUGUAAUUCACGGUAUCUUGUAUUGCGGAACGAGUAAAGAGACUUGCUGGUAACGAGAUUGAAAUAGGUAAGCGGAUACCGACGAUCAAAUCUCGGGCAAGUAACAUACCGAAGGACAAAGGGAAUGACAUACGGGAUUAUAUGAAUCCUUGACACUGAGGUUCAACCGAUAAGAUCUUCGGAGAAUAUGUAGGAUCCAAUAUGGGCAUCCAGGUCCCGCUAUUGGAUAUUGACCGAGGAGUACCUCGGGGCAUGUCUACAUAGGUCUCGAACCCGCAGGGUCUGCACACUUAAGGUUCGAUGAUGUUUUAGUAUAGUUGAGUUAUAUGUGUGGUUACCGAAUGUUGUUUGGAGUCCCGGAUGAGAUCACGGACGUCACGAGCGUUUCCGGAAUGGUUCGGAAACAAAGAUUGAUAUAUAGGAUGGCUUCAUUUGGUUACCGGAAGGUUUUCACACAUUACCGGGAUUGUACUGGGAGUCACGAAUGGGUUCCGGAAGUUCACCGGGAGGGAGGCAACCCACCCGGAGGAAGCCCAAUGGCCUUAGGGGUGGUGCACCAGCCCUUAGUGGGCUGGUGGGACAGCCCAAGAGGGCCUUGGUGCCAUAAGAUGAAAACCAAAAAAAAGGGGAGGUGGGAAGGAAGAGAAGGACUCCACUUUCCAAUCCUAAUUGGAGUACGAUUCCUCCUCCUCCUCCUAGCCGGCGCACCCUUGAGGGAUUGGCCCUCAAGGCAAGCCUCCUCCCCCUCCCUCCUAUACAUAGUGGUGAUUUAGGGAUGAUUUGAGACAACUUUUGCCACGUGCAACUCAGAUCUAGACACCAUAGUUUUACCUCUAGGUCGUAUUUCUCCGGAGCUCGGGCGGAGCCCUGCAGGAGUAGAUCCUCACCACCACCAGAGUGCCGUCAUGCUGCCGGAGAACUCAUAUACUUCUCCGUCUUGCUUGCUGGAUCAAGAAGGCCGAGAUCAUCAUCGAGCUGUACGUGUGCUGAAUGCGGAGGUGCCGUACGUUCGGCACUAGAUCGUAACAGAUCGCGGGACGGUUCGUGGGAUGGUUCGUGGGGCUGAUCGAGGGACAUGAGGACGUUCCGCUACAUCAACCGCGUUUCUUAAUGCUUCUUGUUGUGCGAUCUACAAGGUUACGUAGAUCCAAAUAUCCUCUCGUAGAUGGACAUCACCAUGAUAGGUCUUCGUGUGUGUAGGAUUUUUUUUGUUUCCCAUGCAUCGUUCCCCAACAUGCGGCAGCCCCAUCUGGCGUGGGAGGUGGCAGCCAGGGCAAGGGAGAGGGGGAUGGCGCACCCCAGAUGGGCCUUAGGCCAAUCUGCACUAGGGUUUCCCCCCUUCCCUCUCUUGCUGCGCUUUCGUCCUAGGUGGGAGGCGCACCAGCCCACUCUCGGCUGGUUGCCUUCCACCUUUUGGCCCAUGCCAGCCUUUGGGGCUGGUGGCCCCUCCUAGUGGACCCCUGGAACCCUUCCAGUGGUCCCGGUACGUUACCGGUGACGCUCGAAACAUUUCCGGUGUCCAAAAACUCUCAUCCUAUAUAUCAAUCUUUACCUCCGGACCAUUCGGGAGCUUCUUGUGACGUCCGGGAUCUCAUCCGGGACUCCUAACAACCUUCGGUAACCACGUACACGAUUUCCCUAUAACCCCGACGUCAUCAAACAUUAAGUGUGUAGACCCUACGGGUUGGGGAGACGUGCAGACAUGACCGAGACAUCUCUCCGGCCAAUAACCAACAACGGGGUCUGGAUAUCCAUGUUGGUUCCCACAUGUUCCACGAUGAUCUCAUCAGAUGAAUCACGAUGUCAAGGAUUCAAUCAAUCCCGUAUGCAAUUCCCUUUGUUUAUCGGUAUGAUACUUGCCCGAGAUUUGAUUGUCGGUAUCCCUAUACCUUGUUCAGUCUCGUUACCCGGCAAGUCUCUUUACUCGUUCCGUAACACAUCAUCCCGUGGCUAACCAGUCACACUGAGCUCAAUAUGAUGAUGGAUUACCGAGUGGGCCCAGAGAUACCUCUCUGUCACACCGAGUGACAAAUCCCCGUCUCGAUUGGUACAACUCAACAGACACUUUCGGAGAUACCCGUAGUGCACCUUUAUAAUCACCCAGUUACAUUGUGACGUUUGGUACACCCAAAGCACUCCUACGGUUUCCAGGUGUUGCACAAUCUUACGGUCGAAGGAAAAGACACUUGACAUUAGAAAAGCUUUAGCAUACGAACAACACGAUCUAGUGCUAUGCUUAGGAUUGGGUAUUGUCCAUCACAUCGUUCCCCAAUGAUGUGAUCCCGUUAUCAACGACAUCCAAUGUCCAUGAUCAUCUAUUGAUCAACCAGCUAGCCAACUAGAGGCUUACUAGGGACACAUUGUGAUCUAUAUAUUCACACAUGUAUUACGGUUUCUGGUUAAUACAAUUAUAGUUUGAAUAAUAGGAAACUAUCAUGAACUAGGAAAUAUAAUAAUAACCAAUUUAUUAUUCCCUCUAGGGCAUAUUUUCCAACAGUCUCCCACUUGCACUAGUGUCAAUAAUCUAGUUCACAUCACUAUGUGAUUGCAAUGAAUCCAACACCCAUAUAGUUCUGGGGUUCGAUCAUGUCUUGCUUGUGAGAGAGGUUUAUUAGUCAAUGGGUCUGAACCUUUCAGAUCCGUGUGUGCUUUACAAAUCUCUGUGUCUUCAUAUAGAUACUGCUACCAUGCACCAUUUGGAACUAUUCCAAAUGACUGCUCCACUAUACGAAUCCGGUUUACUACUCAUAGUCAUUUGGAUUAGUGACAAAGCUUGCAUCGACGUAAACCCUUUACGAUGAACUCUUUAAUCAACUCCAUAAUCGAGAAAAAAAAUCCUUAGUCCACUAGUUACUAAUGAUAUCUUUGACCUCUAUCCAGUGAUCCUUUCCUGGAUCACCCUUGUACCCCUUGACUGACUCAUGGCAAGGCACACUUUAGGUGCGGUACACAGCAUAUCAUACUUAUAGAGCCUACGGCUGAUGCAUAGGGGACGACCUUCGUCCUUUCUCUUUCUUAUGCCGAGGUUGGGCUUUUGAGUCUUACUAAAAAAUUCACACCUUAUAACACAGCCAAGAACUCCUUCUUUUGCCGAUCUAUUUUGAACACUUUCAAAAAAAUUGUCAAGGCAUGCAUUUUGUUGAAAGUUCAAUUAAGCACUUUGAUCUAUCUCCAUAGAUCUUGAUGCUCAAGGUUCAGUUAGCUCACCCAGGCUUUCCUUUGAAAAACUCCUUUCAAAGAACCCUUUAUGCUUUCCAGUAUUUCUACAUUAUUUCCGAUCAACAAUAUGUCAACAAUAUAUUCAUUAGAAAUUCUAUAGUGCUCCCACUCACUUCUUUGGAAAUACAAGUUUCUCAUAAACCUUGUAUAAAACCAAAAACUUUGAUCAUCUCAUCAAAGUGUAUAUUCCAACUCCGAGAUGCUUGCUCCAGUCCAUAGAAGGAUCGAUGAAGCUUUGGAUACUUGUUAGCACCCUUUAGGAUCGACAAAAUCUUCUGGUCGUAUCACAUACAACCUUUCCUCAAGGAAACCGUCGAGGAAACAAUAUUUUUUGACAUCCUAUCUGCAAGAUUUCAUAAAUGAUGCAGCAACUGCUAACAUAAUUCCAACAGACUUUCAGCAUCGCUACGAGUGAGAAAGUUUCAUCAUAGUCAAGUCUUUGAACUUUGUCGGAAACACCUUUGCGACAAGUCGACCUUUCUUGAUGGUGACUUUUCACCAUCAUCGUCUGUCUUACUUUUAAAGGUCCAUUCAUAGUUAAUAGUCUUAUGACCAUCAGGUGGUUCUUCCAAAGUCUAUACUUUGUUUUCAUACAUGGAUCCUCUCUCGGAUUUCAUGGCCUCCAGCCAUUUGUCGGAAUCCAGGCCCACCAUCGCUUCUCCAUGUCUCGUAGGUUCAUUGUGUCCAACAACAUGACCUCUAAGACGGGAUUACCUUACCACUCUGUAGUAGUACGCAUCCUUGUCCACCUACGAGGUUUUGGCAGUGACUUGAUCCGAAACUGCAUGAUCACUAUCAUAAGCUUCCACUUCAAUUGGUGUAGGCGCCACAUGAACAACUUCCUGCGCCCUGCCAUACACUGGUUGAAGUGAUGGUUCAAUAACCUCAUCAAGUAUCCACCAUACUCCCACUCAACUCUUUCGAGAGAAAUCUUUCCUCGAGAAAGGACCCGUUUCUAGAAAUAAACACUUUUGCUUCCGGAUCUGAUAUAGGAGGUAUACGCAACUGUUUUGGGUGUCCUAUGAAGAUGCAUUUAUCCGCUUUGGGUUCGAGCUUAUCAAGCUGAAACUCUUUCACAUAAGCAUCACAACCCCAAACUUUUAAGAAAUGACAGCUUAUGUUUCUCUAAACCAUAGUUCAUACGGUGUCAUCUCAAAGGAAUCACGUGUCCCUUUUUAAAGUGAGUGCGGUUGUCUCUAAUGCCUAACCCAUAAACGAUAGUGGUAAUUNUCAGUGCCAAGUGCCAGUUCCUGUUUUUUCCAUGUUUUUGACCCCUUUCAGAGGAGAUUUUGAAACGGAGUCCAAACGGAAAAAAAUCUGCGAAAAGAUUUUUUUGGAACGGAAGAAGAUCGGGGAGCUUGGGAGCCAAGGCAGGGGAGCCCCAGGGGCCCCACAAGCCUCCACCCCGCGGCCAGGGGGGCUCCAUCCAGUCUUGUGGGCCCCCUCGACGCCCUUCUCCCUAGGUCUUUCGCCUAUAUAUUCCCAUAAAUUCCAUAAAAAAUCAAGAGAUCAUCACAAUCACUUUUCCGCCGCCGCAAGCUUCUAUCUCCGCAAGAUCCCAUCUAGGGCACGUCCUGGUGCCCUGCCGGAGGGGGAUUUGGACACGGAGGGCUUCUUCAUCAACACCAUGACCUCUCCAAUGAUGCGUGAGUAGUUCACCAUAGACCUACGGGUCCAUAGCUAGUAACUUGAUGGCUUCUUCUCUCUCUUGGAUCUUCAAUACAAAGUUCUCCACGAUCUUCAUGGAGAUCUAUCCGAUGUAAUCUUCUUUUGCGGUGUGUUUGUCGAGAUUCGAUGAAUUGUGGAUUUAUGAUCAGAUUAUCUAUGAAUCUUAUUUGAGUUUCUUUUGAUCUCUCUUAUGCAUGAUUUAAUAUCCUUGUAAUUCUCUUCGAGUUGUGGGUUUUGUGUGGCCAACUAGAUCUAUGAUUCUUGCAAUGGGAGAAGUGCUUGGUUUUGGGUUCAUACCGUGCGGUGACCUCACCCAGUGACAGAAGGGAUAGCGAGGCACACAUCAUGUUGUCGCCAUCAAGGGUAAAAAGAUGGGGUUUUCAUCAUUGGUUUGAGAUUAUCCCUCUACAUCAUGUCAUCUUGCUUAAGGCGUUACUCUGUUCGUCAUGAACUCAAUACACUAGAUGCAUGCUGGAUAGCGGUCGAUGUGUGGAGUAAUAGUAGUAGAUGCAGAAAGUAUUGGUCUACUUGUCUCGGACGUGAUGCCUAUAUGUAUGAUCAUUUCCUUAGAUAUCGUCAUGACUUUGCGCGGUUCUAUCAAUUGCUCGACGGUAAUUUGUUCACCCACCGUGAUACUUGCUAUUUUGAGAUAAGCCUCUAGUGAACACUAUGGCCCCCAGGGUCUACUCCACACCAUAUUUUCAGCCUUACACUUUUUACUUCAUUGCACUUUUUGCCUUCAGAUCUCACUUUGCAAACAAUCUUGAAGGGAUUGACAACCCCUUUGAAGCGUUGGGUGCAAGCUUGUUUGUGUUUGCGCAGGUACUCUGGACUUGACGAGACCCUCCUUCUGGAUCGAUACCUUGGUUCUCAAACUGAGGGAAAUACUUACUGCUCCUGUGCUGCAUCACCCUUUCCUCUUCAAGGGAAAAACCAACGCAAGCCUAGCCUCUAUCAACGUGUCAAUUUCUGGCGCUGUUGUCUGUGGGAUAGCAGAACAAUUUCUGGCGCCGUUGUCGGGGAGGAAGAUCAAGUCAAGAACUCAUCCAAGUAGGUGUCGCAAACUCAUCUCUUGCAUUUACUUUGUUUGUUAGUUGCCUCUCGUUUUCCUCUCCCCCACUUCACAUUUUGCCUUUUUCAUUUGCCUUUUCCGUUUGCCUUUUCGUUCCCCCUUUUCUUUCGCUUGCUUUCUGUUUGCUUGUGUUGCCAUGUGCCUUCAAUAUGCUUGCAUCUUCGCUUGCUGAAAAUCUAGUGAUAUGGAUCCUCAUCCACUUGCUAAUCUCUUCAAGAGAUCCAAUUAUGUUGAUCCAAUUGCUAGUGAGUUGAGUGCACUUGACUAUCUUUAUGGAGUUUUGCUUGAGAUGCGUGAAUUUGAAAAUUGUGAGGAAGAAAUUUAUGAAGUGAUUCACGAGGGCUCCCUGAAUGAAAAGCAUGAUUGCAAUGGUUUCACUAAAUCUUAUUAGUGACAAUCAUGCUAAAAAUAUGCAAAACCCUAAGCUUGGGGAUGCUAGUUUUGCUUUGUCCACUACUUGUUGCAAUGAUAUUUGCAAUAAUAUUGAAAGUGGGUUUGGAGAAGUCAUGACUUUAGUUGAUGAUAAUCCCACUAUUUUUGAAGAGCGUCAACUUUGCAUGCAUGUGGAUCAUGAAAAGAAUAUCCUAUGUGAUAGUUACAUUGUUGAAUUUGAUUAUGGUCCCACAUGUAAUUGCUAUGAGAGAGGAAAAUAUUAUGGUAGAAACUUUCAUGUUACCAAAUUACCUCUCGUUAUGUGGAGAUUGCUAUUGUCUCUUUCUUCUUCCUUGCAUAUGAAAACUAUUGGUUGUCUUGACAAUAUGUUUUCCUAUAAAACGCCUAUGCAUUGGAAGUAUGUUAGACUUAGAUGUGAUUUUCACAUGCUUUAUGAUGCUCUCGUUGUGCUUCAAUUCUUUUCUUUUGUGCGAGCAUCAUUAAAAUCCUAAUGACUAGCUAAGGGCGUUAAACAAUAGCGCUUGUUGGGAGGCAACCCAAUGAAUUUAUCCUUUUCUUUCUGAUUUGUUGCGUCCACACUUUCACAAUUCUGUUGUGAUUGUGUUUUUUGUGUUUCUUUUUGUGUUUGAGCCAAGCAAAACCUUUAUGACUAGUCUUGGUAAUGGUUGUUUGAUCCUGCUCAAAAAACACAGAAACUUUUCGCUCACGAGAUGAUUUUUCAUUUUUACUGAGAAAGAUAUUUUGAGUUGAUUCUUUUUGCUUCUGGAUGAUAUGCUUAUUUACCAUGCCUUCGUAAGUUCUCAGAUUUUUUGAGGUACCGGAAGUAUACACAGUAUACAGAUUUCUACAGACUGGUCUGUUUUUGACAUAUUCUGUUUUUUGUUGAGUUGGUUGCUUGUUUUGAGGAAAUUAUGGUUAGUAUCGGGGGUACUAGCCAUGGAAAUGUGAGAAUACAGUAUCCCAACACUAAUGUAGAUGGAAUUCAAGUUUGCUACACUACCAAAAGAAGUGGUAGUUUGUUUUCUUGUGCUAAUGUUAUCACGAGUUUCUGUUUAAGUUUUGUGUUGUGAAGUUUUCAAGUUUUGGGUGAUGUUCUCAUGGACGAUGAGAUAAGGAGUGGAAAGAGCUCGAGCUUGGGGAUGCCCAAGGCAUCCCAAGCCAAAUUCAAGGACACCAAAAAGCCUAAGCUUGGGGAUGCCCCGGGAAGGCAUCCCCUCUUUCGUCUUCAAUCCAGCGGUAACAUUACUUGGAGCUAUAUUUUUAUUCACCACAUGAUAUGUGUUUUGCUUGGAGCGUCUUGUAUCUUAGGAGUCUUUUCUUUUUGUUGUGUCACAAUCAUCCUUGCUGCACACCUUUUUGAGAGAGAGAGUCAUGCACUCAUCGUGAUUUUGCUAGAAUGCUCAUAGUGCUUCACUUAUAUCUUUUGAGCUAGAUACUUUUGCUCUUGUGCUUCACUUAUAUCUUUAGAGCACGGUAGUGCGUGAUUUGGUAGUUGGCUUAUGCUAUGAAAGUAGUCCCAAACGUGCUAGGUACCCAAAGAGGAUGCAAAAACCUCCAUCUUCAUGUGCAUUGAGUAGAAAGAGAAGUUUCGAUUCCUCUCAAUUAGUUUUGGGACGUGGAUUCGGUAAUAUUAAGAGUUAUGUUAGCAGGGUGUUAUGAAUCUAGAAAUACUUGUGUUGAAGUUAGUGAUUCCCGUAGCAUGCACGUAUGGUGAACCGCUAUGUUAGGAAGUAGGAGCAUAAUUGAUCUAUUGAUUGUCAUCCUUUGUGUUGAGGUCGGGAUCGCGCGAUGGUUUACACAUACCAACCCUUCCCCUCGGAGUAUGCGUUUAGCGCUUUGUUUCCAUUAGUAAUAAAAACUUUCGCAAUAAGUAUGUGAGUUCUUAAUGACUAAUGUGAGCCCAUGGUAUAUAUGCACUUUCACCUUCCACCAUUUCUAGCCUCUCUAGUGCCGCGCAAUUCUCGUCGGUGCACAAAUCCACCAAAUUCCUUCCUCAAAACAGCCACCAUACCUACCUACUAUGGCAUUUUCAUAGCCAUUCCGAGAUAUAUUUCCAUGCAACUCCCACCGUUCCGUCUCAUGACUUGUGUCGUCACUCUCAUAUUGCCAUUGCAUGAUCGUAAGAUAGCUAGCGAGAUGUUUCAACGUCAUACACCAAGCUAGAUCGUUGCACAACCCGGUACACUGCCGGAGGCAUUUCCUAUGGAGUCAUCAUCAUUGUGAUCUUUGAGCUUUGAGUAAAUAAAAGUGUGAUGAUCAUCAUUAUUAGAGCAUUGUCCCAUGUGAGGAAAUAAAAAAAGGCCAAAGAGCCCAAAAACAAAAAGAGAGAGAGAGAAAAGAAAAGAAAAGAAAAAAAGAGACCUAAGAGCCCAAAUGAAAAAAGGAGAGAAAAAGAGAGAAGGGACAAUGCUACUAUCUUUUUCCACACUUGUGCUUCAUGUUAGCACCAUGUUCUUCAUGAUUGAGAGCUUCUUGCUUUGUCACUACCAUAUGCUAGUGGGAAUCUUCAUUAUAUAACUUGGCUUGUAUAUUCCAAUGAUGGGCUUCCUCAAAAUUGCCGUAGGUCUUCGUGAGCAAGCAAGUUGGAUGCACACCCACUAGUUUUCCUUUUGAGCUUUCACAUACUUAUAGCUCUAGUGCAUCUCUUGUAUGGAAAUACCUACUCAUUCACAUUGAUAUCUAUUAAUGGGAAUCUCCAUAGCCUAUUGAUACGCCGAGUCAGUGUGGCCAUCUCCUCCUUUUUGUCUCACAACCACCACCACACUCUAUUCCACCUAUAGUGCUAUAUCCAUGGCUCGCGCUAUAUUGCGUGAUAGUUAUAAAAAGUUUGAGAAAGUAAGAGUGCAAAAACAAUUAUUUGGCCAAUUCCGGGGUUGUGCAUGAUUUACAUUAGUUGUGUGAGGAUGAUGGAGCAUAGCGAGACAAUAUGAUUUUGUAGGGAUAACUUUCUUUGGCCUUGUUAUUUUGAAAGUUCAUGAUUACUUUGCUAGUUUGCUUGAAGUAUUACUAUUCUCAUGUCAAUAGCAAACUAUUGUUUUGAAUCUUACGGAUCUGAACAUUCAUGUCACGUGAAAGUAGUUGCAAAGGACAACUAUGCUAGGUAGCAUUCCACAUAAAAAAUUCAUUCUUUAUCACUUCCCUACUCGAGGACGAGCAGGAGUUAAGCUUGGGGAUGCUUGAUACGUCUCCAACGUAUCUAUAAUUUUUGAUGGUUUCAUGCUAUUAUCUUGUCAAACUUUGGAUGUUUUGCAUGCCUUAUAUAUUUUUUGGGACUAACUUAUUAACUCAGUGCCAAGUGCUAGUUCCUGUUUUUUCCAUGUUUUGACCCCUUUCAGAGGAGAUUUUGAAACGGAGUCCAAACGGGAGAAAAUCCCCGAAAAGAUUUUUUUUGGCAUGGAAGAAGAUCGGGGAGCUUGGGAGCCAAGGCAGGGGAGCCCCACGGGCCCCACAAGCCUCCACCCUGCGUCCAGGGGGGCGCCAUCCAGGCUUGUGGGCCCCUUGGACGCCAUUUUCCCUAGGUCUUUCGCCUAUAUAUUCCCAUAAAUUCCAGAAAAAAUCAAGAGAUCAUCGCAAUCACUUUUCCGCAGCCGCAAGCUUCUGUCUCCGCAAGAUCCCAUCUGGGGCACGUCCUGGUGCCCUGUCGGAGGGGGGAUUUAGACACGGAGGGCUUCUACAUCAACACCAUGACCUCUCCGAUGAUGCGUGAGUAGUUCACCAUAGACCUACGGGUCCAUAGCUAGUAACUAGAUGGCUUCUUCUCUCUCUUGGAUCUUCAAUACAAAGUUGUCCAUGAUCUUCAUGGAGAUCUAUCCGAUGUAAUCUUCUUUUGCGGUGUGUUUGUCGAGAUCCGAUGAAUUGUGGA